AGAGAAGUUGUGCUCAUUUACGUGGACAACGAGUAUGGAAAUGGAGUGAUACCAUAUCUUACUGAUGCCUUGCAAGAGAUUGACACCCGUAUCUCCUACCGGAGCGUCAUUCAUCCAUUAGCCACUGAUGAUCAAAUCCUCGAAGAGCUUUACAAGUUGAUGACGAAGCCAACCAGAGUUUUCAUUGUACACAUGCUUACACCUCUAGGCCCACGGCUUUUCACCAGAGCGAAUGAGAUUGGAAUGAUGAAAGAAGGUUAUGUUUGGAUUCUAACUGAUGGGUUAACUGAUAUCUUGAGUACUUUGGAUCCAUCUGUCAUUGAUUCAAUGCAAGGAGUGCUGGGCGUGAAGCCUCAUGUUCCAAGAUCGAAAGAGCUUGAAAGUUUUAAAAUCAGAUGGAAAAGGAAAAUUCAACAAGAAUAUCCAACCAAUGAAAGCUUUGAGCUGAACAUUUUUGGACUCUGGGCUUAUGAUGCUGCUUCUGGGCUAGCCAUGGCAGUUGAAAAACUUGGGCCAACAAACUUCAGCUUCCAAAAGUCUAAUACUCACAGAAAUUCAACCGAUCUUGAUACUGUAGGAGUCUCCCAAAUUGGUCCAAGUCUUCUCCAAUCACUAUUAAGUACUAGAUUUAAGGGCCUCAGUGGACACUUUCAAAUUUUGAACAGGCAACUACGUUCAUCAGCUUUUCAGGUGGUCAAUGUGAUCGGCAAAGGGGAAAGAGGGGUUGGAUUUUGGACACCAGAGAAUGGAACUGUAAGAAAGUUACAUUCUACUUCCAAGGCCAAUCUAGGAACAAUCGUAUGGCCAGGAGAAUCUCCCUCCGUUCCUAAAGGUUGGGUCCUUCCCACCAAUAAGAAGAAGAUGAGAAUAGGAGUACCAGUCACCAAGGGUUUUGGUGAAUUCGUAAAGGUGACACGAGAUCCUAGCACUAACGCAACGGAGGUCACUGGAUUUUCCAUAGCAGUCUUCGAUGCAGUGAUGGCAGCAUUACCAUAUGCUGUUCCUUAUGAGUACAGUCCCUUCCAGACGCCCGAUGGCGAUCCAGCGGGUGAUUACAACGAUUUGAUAUAUCAAGUAUAUCUCCAGGUCAGUUAAUCGAACUCUUUACCUUUCCUGGUGCAUAGUGGUAACUCUAGGUUUAGCUUCAAUUAUGAUGGAGUUUGUCAAAAUAAAAACCAAACCUGCAGCAUAUUUUCCCGUAAUGCAUAACAGAAUGCCCCAUUGUUUAUUGUGAACAGAAGUAUGAUGCUGUGGUGGGAGAUACUACUAUUCUAGCGAACAGGUCCUUGUAUGUAGACUUUACACUACCGUACACAUAAUCUGGGGUGUCAAUGAUCGUGCCCAUCGUAGAUAGAAGAAGAAAAAAUGCAUGGGUUUUCUUGAAGCCACUUACUUGGGACCUUUGGGUGACAAGCUCUUGUUUCUUUGUAUUCAUUGGCUUUGUGAUUUGGGUUCUUGAACAUCGAGUAAAUAAAGAUUUCAGAGGGCCUCGUUCACAUCAAGUUGGCACUAUCUUCUGGUUUUCAUUCUCAACAUUGGUGUUUGCUCAGAGUAAUUUCUCUUCCACCUCCUUGAAUUUUAUCCAGCAACUUAUCUACUCUUGUAAUAUUCAAAUACUCAUGAUACGAAGCAUAUUGAGCACAUCUCAAACACAAUCGAAACUAACUUCUAGUAUGGCCUGCUUGCUUGUUUCCCAUGAUUACAACCUCUAUUAAUAUAUGGACAUUCCAUACAAUAUGCAAGUAAAUUUCAGGGUAAUUUUUAUGUUUAAGAAAUUAUAUAUAUUUGUCUUUAUAUUGAUUUUCUGGAGUUGAUUUUUCCAUUUCACUCUUAAAUUUUGUUAACAGAGGAGAGAAUUGUCAACAACUUGGCUCGGUUUGUGGUGAUCAUAUGGCUUUUUGUGGUGCUGAUUCUUACUCAAAGUUACACAGCCAGCUUGACUUCAAUGUUGACAGUUCAACAGCUCAACCCAACCAUCACCGAUAUAAAUGAGCUGAUAAAGAAAGGGGAGCGUGUAGGUUGCCAACAUGCCUCUUUCGUUCAUGAAUUCUUGAUCAAAUGGAUGAAAUUUGAUGAGUCUAAGCUAGUAAUCUAUGAGUCACCAGAAGAACUGGAUGAAUUAUUUUCAAAAGGUGGAAUUGCUGCUGCAUUUGAUGAAAUCCCUUACAUGAAGAUUUUCCUUGCAAAAUAUUGCUCCAAAUACACUGCAGUCGGACCAACGUACAAGUUUGAUGGCUUUGGAUUUGUAAGUACUCUCAUAACACACGUAUAAAUUUUAUACCGAGGUUUCUUAUUUUUGAUAAUUUUUCAGGUGUUUCCAAAGGGUUCACCCCUUGUAGCUGAUGUUUCAAGGCAAGUCUUAAACGUGACAGAGGGAGCUAAAAUGCUACAAUUUGAGAAGGCAUGGUUUGGGCAACCAACCAGUUGUCCAGAGCUCACCAACUCAGUUUCUUCAAACAGCAUCGGCCUGAAUAGCUUUUGGGGCCUAUUCCUCAUUGCUGGAGUCGCUUCAUUUGUAGCUCUCAUCACAUGCAUCACCACAUUCCUUUAUGAAAAUAGAGAUGCCUUAAUAAACUUGAAUUCCCCAUCUUCGAUAUGGAGAAAAAUUAAAGCCAUGGUGACACGCUUUGACGACAAAGAUCUUAGGUCCCAUACUUUUAGAGAAAGCGAUCAACUUCAAGACGAGCGACAUCAAAGCCAUGGAUGCAGCUACACCAACUUCCCUCCAAGUCCAUCGAGCCUUUUGAUCCCAACACACAAUAAUUAUGCUUUCUUCGGAGAACAAGGAACACCUUCUUCUGGACAUGCUGAUCCAGUCGGUCCAAAUCGGCCAAUGUCUCCACAUAUAAUGUUUGAAUAUGAGCUUGCUAAUAUAAAUCACGAGUAAACAAGACCACCUGUAAUUGAAUAACUGAUAAAUCAUUGCCUUUUUCCUGUGUUCUUUAUGCCGGUGGCAUCAUUACCCACAACCAAGAAUUUCAAAAUUUUCAAAAAAAAAAGGUAGGACUAGGACAGGGAGGGCCAGUUUUCAAACCAUCGCAGACAUGACGCAUAACAUUGUUUUAAAAUCUAUAUCAGCCAACGGUUCCUACAUUUUUUUACAGGACAUAGAUGAGCCAUUACUUGCACAUGCUUUUUCUUUUUUCUCUGUUUUUUUUUCCUUUUUAAAUGAAAAUGAAAUUCAAUCUUCCCACAUUGAUGAUUGCCUUAAAUUCCGUCCAAUUCACAAAUUUAUUGCUGCCUAACGUAGCAGGUCAACUUCCUAUGCCUUAUCGGCAUGAAAUAAAAUAAAUAUUUUUAAAGAUUACCCUUGCACUACGUGGUUUACAUUGAUCAAUGGAGGGAAUGUGAUACGGUGAAAUUUUUUGGAACGUUCGUAGUGGUGGAGUACUCUCGUGUCUAUAUAUAUAUAUAUAUAUAUAUAAAAUGAUGUAUAGAUUUAGGGUUAUGAUAAUUCCCCUUUUUUAUACCAUUUUUUUAAUAUAAUGGAUUUCUUUCUUCAUUAUUCUUAGUUUUUUUUCUAUUUAGUGUUUUCUAUAUAAAUCCAUAUUUUCUUAUUUUAUUUAUUUAUUUUAUUAUUAUUAUUAUUAUUAUUAUUAUGUAUCAUAAUUCAUUAAUUCUGAAUGAUAUAAUUUUUGUGAGAAUAAAUAUUUUUUAUUUACAAAAUAUUUGAAAAUUUUCCAUUUUCAUUCGAAGGGUAGCCACGUAUCAUCAUCAACUAAUUAAAUUCCUUGCGCCCGAGUGCAGAAGAUGAUAAGUCCAUCACCAUGUGAAUACUGUACUGCCAACUGCCACCUAACAUUAGUGACUGUUGGAAUUCAACAACAUGCUACAGGCGAUGAAUAGCUCCAUGGAGUUCAUCAAGAAAACCUCUCUUAUGACUUUACUGGGUCAAAUUACGCUUUCUUAUUUAAUUAAUAUUUUAAGAGAUUCAAUCUUUGACCGCCCAACAAGUGUUGGUUGGGUUUUGUAUUCACAACUGUGCAUCUGUGCCUUGUUACAGUGCCUUCGCUUCUAGGCUUCUAAUUCCUACUUUUCCAAAUUCUAGACCCUAUAAAUGAACUAUAUUCUGCAUUAUUGUGAACCAUCAAGUUGACUGCAGAGUAGUCCUGAUUCCAGCUGGCUUCUGGUUUCAAAAUUCAAAAUUCAAAAUUCUAAGUCCCAUAAAUAAUCUCUUAAUUUCUCUCCAAUAUUAUGACUACCAUAGCUUCCAACGAGUUCAAAGAUGAGAAGGCACCCUACCCAACUCCUUACCUCUCUCUUGUUCUUUCUCUUUCCCACGAUUUUCUUCAUACAAAAGGGCAUGGCACAGAACACAACAAUACCAGUUAAAGUGGGAGUGGUUCUGGACUUGGAUACAUGGGUUGGGAAGAUGGGCUUGAGCUGCAUCUCCAUGGCCCUUUCAGACUUGUAUGCCUCUCAUGGUCACUACAAAACCAGGGUGGUUACAAAAAUCAGAGACUCCAAAAGAGAUGUUGUUGGUGCAGCUGCAGCAGGUACUAUCCCUUAAAUCUUCUCCUUCAACAGUUAAACUCAGCAGUCUAAAUAAUUUCAGAAUAAUCCGAGAGCCUGAUUGGAAAUUGUUUUUUUAGAAUAUUCAAAAAAUUGUUUUAUGUUUUUUAUUCUUAAUUUUAUAUUAUUUUCACUUGUUUUUAAAAGUUGUUGUAAGAAAUAAUUAUAUAAAUAUUAAAAAUAGAUUAAAAAUAUUUCAAGUUUUUAAAUAAACUUUUGUUUUACAAAAAUAAAAUAAUAGUUACUAAACAUGUUCUAAAUAUCUGCACCAUUUAGAAAACCAAACUUUAUUAUUCUGAAAAAAAAUAAAAAAUGAAUAAUGAAGCAAUUGAUGUUGAGUCAAUCCAUUUGCGUUUCGAGGAACAUCGUUGGACUUAUUCUCUUUGAGAAUUAAUAAACUUAAUUGGGAGCAAUUUAAUUAGCAUACCAAAAGAUAUUUGCUUUGAGUAUUCUCUUAGAAAAGCUACAAGAAUACUCUAUAAUGUUGAAUUCGUUUUGAAGUUGAUGCAUUAUUUAUAUUUAAUAUUUUUAGAAUUAGAUCAAUUAUUAUAAAAUUUAAAAAGUUAUGGUUUUAUAGUUUAGUGAUUGAACUAAUGAUUAAAUCGUUGUUGAACCAAUUGCAUUAUAAAUAUAUAAUUUAUAUAUUAUUAAAAUUUAAAAUAAUUAUAAAGUUUAUAUAUAUAUAUAUAUAUAUCUUAAAAAUAAUAAUAUAUGUUUUUCACAUUUGAUAUUAUCAAAUUUAUAUCAUAAAUAAAUAUAAAUAUAUUAAAUUUUAUUAAAUGAGUGGGUACCUUCCCAUCUAUGAUCAGAUUGUCCAUGAUUCAAAUCCCCCAAUUCUAAGAAUUUAGGAUUUUACAACAACUCACUGUCUUUGAUUCCACAUUCAACAACUCAAUAUCUCUUAUCGGUGUCAAUCAUAAUUAACCAAAGUGGAGCCAGGCCUUAAUAUAUAUUGAGCUCGGCUUCCACCCCUUCACUAUGGGCUUGGCUUUUGCUAAGAGGAAAAAAAGGUUGGCCAACCCAAAACCAACAAUGGCCUGGUUCACUGGGUCAGUGGUCCAGCUGUUGGUUUGUCUAGUUCAAGGUUGGCCCAACGUGUACUCCGGACCAAAAUAAAUAAAUAAAUAAAUUUAGAAUCUAAAAGAUAGUAUUACACUUAUGAUCCAAAAAAUUGAAAUUUAGAAUGUACAAGAUAGAACACUUGUGAUUUAAGAAAAUAUCUUGAUGAUAAAUAUGAGUAAGAAGUAGUGCAAAAGAGUCUCCAUUAAUUAUGUCAUGUUUAUUUGUUUUAUUUUUACAACUAGAUAACAUAUCUUAUUUACCACAUAAUAGGUAAGGGGUAGUAAUCAGUGUUAAAAAACUAUAAGGGUACCGGUAUUGACAUUAUUUAUGAACAUAAGUCGAAAACGAUAUGAAAUUAGUGAGAUUAGGUUAGCGGUGAUGGUUCGAUUUCAUAUUUGUGCUGAUUUAUAGAUUUUAAUUUUUUUUAAUAAGGCUUUCAUUGAUAAAUUACAAUAAUUGUAUUAUAAUUUUGGUACAUUAUUUAAAUAAAAAAAAAAAGAGAACCUAUAAUGCAGAUAAUUUUAAAUUUUAAAAUAAUUUAAAUAAAUCUUAAUUGGGAUUAAAUGAAUUAUUGAUGUAAUUUUUGGGUGAAGUUGAUAGACUUCUAACCCAAAUGGCCCUAUUUCGUUAAAUGAAUAGCAGGUUGUAUCUGGUUGAGCAUACAAUAAAUGGGUCGUCUUCCUAUCAAAUUAUAGUAUCACAUCAUAUUUUAUUAUUAUAUUUAAAAAAAAAAUCUCAUAAACAAGGUUUAGUACGCUGUUUGAUUGCUGACAGUAGAAAUUAAAAUAAAAUUAAAAAGAGAGAGAGAAGUCAGAAUCUUUAAAUUUAUUAAUUCAUUUAAAUGCUGGUUUAUCUUUUGAACCUGCGUGCUCCUGAACUCAGCUGUAGACCUCUUACAAAAUGAAGAAGUGGAAGCCAUAAUUGUUGUCGCCUCGCGUAUCCGGUGGUCCACGUUGCUGCUAGAUGGAUGGACACGUGAUUCUCAACACACAAGGGGUUCUUGAUUCAGCGGUUGUACCUACAAAAGGCAUCCGGACAGGGUGUCCGGACGCACCCUCCGAUGGUUUUGUUAGUCAUGGUAAGAGAGAGAGACAUAAAUCAGUUGGCCUUCUACUAGGUCUCAAGAGGUUACCAGGGGGAUCCCCUUCUUCUGCGUGUGAAGGCAUAUAUAUACAACUUCAGGGGUACUGCUCCUUUCAUUAAUGGUGAGGAGAUAUUUUAUGUUGUAAUGAUGAUAAUAGGUGUCAGUAGGAGCAUUAUCAUCCUACGAAUGGCUGUCAGAGACCAUGGUAGGUGAUGCGGCUGUCAGAGAUCGUGGGAAGUGGUUAUGUAGAAUGAUCGUGGGAAGUGACUUACUGUCGCUUCCUCUUGUCUUCUCACUCUGCAGGUGACAAGAUGUGGGUCAUGGCUGCUUGUUGUGAUUGCGUGUAAGACUCGCUUUACUUUAUUUGACCAUUCAGACGAUUUAUAUCCGGGUGGCUCAUGCUGAUUAUCCGGAUGUGUUGUGGAGAUUAUCCGGAUGUCUACGCUCUGCCAGCGUCGUUUGCUCUUCCUUGGAUAGGAGAAGCUGAAACGUCGUUUGCCUUUCCUUGAGGCGGUCCGGAUAGGAUAACUGCACCAUGCAUAUCCUCAGGGGAAUCCGGAUGAUGAAGGUCCGGCUGAUAACACGUGCCACGCGUCACUAUGAGCUGCGUGCCACGUGUUUCCCAAGGGGAGGGGUCCCUACANNNNNNNNNNNNNNNNNNNNNNNNNNNNNNNNNNNNNNNNNNNNNNNNNNNNNNNNNNNNNNNNNNNNNNNNNNNNNNNNNNNNNNNNNNNNNNNNNNNNUUCCUCCACUUCUCUCAGGUUCCACCCAUCUUCAUUCAUCCCAACCUUGUCCGGGUGCUGAUGGGAUGCAGCAUCAUCAACAUGCUGUACAGCCUCGACCUUACGCUACUGGAAGUGUUCUUUGUCUAUUCCCUGAAGAAAGCAAAAAAUGAUAUCUUCAGUGUGUCUGCGCACCUGCCCUCCCUUCAAAUGGUGACAGAGCUGCCAGAUUCGACAAAGGGAGGGGCGAAGGGGCUGGUGGCGGUCCGGGGUGGAUGGGCGGGGCUACCGGAGCGUGCGUCGAGGCCCUUUUCUCCAAAUUAUACCUUAAAAAUUUCGGGUAUUCUUGUUUUGCGAUUCUUUGUCCGGAUUUUACUUUGCUGAUUUUUUUUUUGCUGAUUUUCCCGGACGGAGUUCUCACCUUUUGUUGCUGUUAAUGCAGGUCUGGAAUUGAGGGGCCACCUUGUGGAUUGGGUGGAAAAGGCGUCCUUCGCCUGUGUCUGCAAAUUAUUCGAGAUAGAUCCCAAGGAGAGGGCCUACAAGACAUUGCUUUCCGCGCGAAAUUUGAUAGCGGUCGUCCGGGAGUCCCAGGAAUAUGUUAUCAAUAUUCUCCCCAGGAAACUGGCAAAGGAUGAGAUAGUGCCUGGGGAGCAUUAUACUGUGAAGGAGCUCCCCCUCUAUCAGGAAGCUAAAGAGGCUGAUGCUGAGAGACGGCGAAAGCUCCUGGAGGAUCGAGAUCAGAGGAAAAAUGAAGGCACUAUCCGGAAGGCUCCCGGACAGAAGCGGGGUCCGGAUUCUCCUCCAAAGAAAGCUCCAGCAAAAAGGAGGAAGCUGGUGAAGAAGCAUGGGAAGGAUGUGAAGGAACCCACUCCUCCCAAGGAGUUUCCUCCUCCGCAAAUUACCUAUGAGGGGGAAGUAAUGAUAGAGGAGCCAGUAAACGCUGCUCCGCAUUCUAUCUCAAGCGGCCCCGGACGCAUGUCGGGGUUGAACCAUUCGGGCACUUCCUUGGCCGCGGUUGCGCGUCUGGCUAACGUGGCUGAGGAAGCUGCAUCUAUCAACCGUCCGGGCAACCUUAAUCCGGAUGCUGAUGCAGCUGAAACGACCCCGUUGGAGGAAGCGGGGGCAGAAAGCCAAAGUCAGCCUUCCGACGACCCGGAUCGCUUGGCCAUAGUUCCGGUGAAAGGGCCUCCUUCAAAGAAGCCGCGUUCGACGCGCGAUCUACGGUCCGGACUCCUUGGGCGGCUUCAAGAGCGGCAGCAAGAGAUUGAAGUUAGCUGCGCUUCUGCCCAUGACGCUCAUCCGGAUGGAGGCGAGGUGGAGAUGGCAACUGAGACUUCGGCCGCCCCGGUAAUAAUUCCGGCUGAAGAUGUAUCCGGAUAGAUGCGUCCGGACGAAGAUGUGGAGGUCCCGAAUCCGGGACAAGAGUCACCUUCUGUUUCCUCAUCUGAGGAGGAACCUGCUGACGAUGCAGCUCCUGCUAGCCCUUUCAGCUAUGCGGAGUUGGAAGUUAAACUAAAACAGAUUACACCCGACUGGAAAGCCAUCAAGCUCUCUGCUAAGAUGUUUGAUAUGAUAGAAACGGUAUACCGUUGUCUUGUGCUUUUGCUUUUUGACUCUUUGUUGCACUGAUGUGUUUGUUGUAGUACGAUUUAUGUCUUUGCUUUUCUUGCUUGCGUGUCAGCUGGUGAGGGGCCUCCGCGGCAUGGCUCAACAACACGAUCUUUUUACUCAGCUGCUGCAGACUGCAGACUAUAUGAGGACCUUCUCCUCUCGACGCCAAGAGAUUGAAAAUCAGCUGCGUCUGAGAAUGGAGGAGGCUGAGGCCAAUCUAUCCACCAUGCGAGAGGAAAAUGAAGCCCUCCGAGUGGAGUUGGCUGAGGCGAAGAGUCGAGAAGAAUCAACUGCAGGCCGCCUACAUGAGGCGGAAGGUGAGGCAGCCCGGCUAAGGGAUGAAGUGAGUCAACUAUGGACAGAAGUUUCGAAUGAAAAGAAACAGAAGGAAGACUUGCAGCUGCGCCUGGAUGUGCAAAAAGAAGAACUUGAAAGGGAGUUUGUUGUGGAAAGGGAGGAACUUGCAGCGGAUUACCAGCAACAAGUUGAUGAUACGUUUAUCUUUGGGUAUCGCUGCUGUAUGAAGAAGAACGGUAUCAAGCGAGAUACCCCUUCGAUUCCUCCGGGUGAAGAAAAGAAGCUCUACGAGAAGCCCGCUCCCUGAUAGUUUAUCUCUUUUUGCAAUUUUUCUGCUGUAAUUUUUCCUUCUGUAUUUUUGUGGUCCGGAGAUCUCUUUGUAAUUACAUUUAUUCAUAUCAAUAAAAACAUAUUUCUUUCUCAUUUACACUUGUGUCUACUUUUUAUUGAUAGUACUGCUUUAAAUUGGACACAUUCCAUGGUCUGAGUAACGGAGUGCCAUCUAGCUUUUGUAAAUGAUAGGCUCCAUUUUUGUUUGCCUUAGACACUAUGUAGGGUCUUUCCCAAUUGGCUUGGAACUUUCCAGCACCUACUUCAGCAGUAUUCUCAAAAACUUUUCUAAGUACUAGCGUACCAUUUUUGAAGUUUCUGGGCCUGACUUUUCGAUUGUAAUGCGCUGAUGCCCUUUGUUGAUAAUCUGCUAUCCGGAUGGUCGCGCUUUCUCUGACUUCGUCUGCCCAGUCCAAAUUUCUUCCUAGUUCUGUGUUGGCAUCUUCUUGUUUUGCUGCAUCGAUCCGGAUAGUAGGAAGACCUAUUUCAGUGGGAAUGACUGCAUCCAUUCCAUAUGUGAGGGCGAAAGGAGUGUUUCCUGUUGGCCGUCCGGGUGUGGUUCGAUAGGCCCACAGGACGCCGGGCAGCUCCUCCACCCACUUCCCUUUGGCUUGCUCAAGCCUUUUCUUUAAGGCAUUGAUUAGAGUUUUGUUUGUGGCUUCCGCCUGCCCAUUGCUUUGAGGAUAACGCGGCGUGGAGUAUGAAUUCCGGAUAUUCAGUUCCGAACAGAAAUUCCUGAAUGCAAUGCUGUCAAAUUGUGGACCAUUGUCAGCUAUGAUGAUUUGGGGAAUUCCAAAGCGGCAAACAAUGUUCUUCCAUACGAAUUUGGUGACAUCUUUAUCUUUGAUGCUUGCAUAUGCUUCAGCUUCUACCCAUUUACUGAAGUAAUCAGUGGCGACAAGGAGGAAUUUCUUCUGGGCAGGUGCUGCUGGGAGGGGUCCCACUAUGUCCAUGCCCCACUGCGCGAAAGGCCAUGGGCCUGAGACCGAUUUCAAUGCUGCUGAUGGCAUAUGUGGAAUAGGAGCGUAUCGUUGACAUUUAUCACACUUUUGGACAUAUGCUGCCGCGUCUUUCUUCAUUGUUGGCCAAUAGUAUCCUUGUGAAUGAGCUCUAUGUGCCAGGGAUCGUCCUCUCGCAUGAUUUCCGCAUAUUCCUUCAUGUAAUUCAGCUAGCACAUACUGGGCCUCUGAAUGCCUAAGACAGCGAAGAUAAGGCCCUGUGAAGGAUCGCUUGUACAGGUGCCCCCCAAUCAGGGUGAAACGGGCAGCUUGCACCCGGACUUUGUGCGCUUGCUUAGGAUCUUCGGGUAAAGUGCCUGCCCGGAGAUAUUCUGCAAUAUUAUGCGUCCAUUCUUGAUCAUCCGUUUGGUUUGCCUCAAUGGUGUUGCAAGUGGAAUCUUCUGCGACAGAGGAUUUGGCUUGCACAUGUAUGGGCAGUAGAAUGGCUUCUUUGAUAGGGAGGGAGGCAGCUAUGCCGGCCAAAGCGUCAGCGUGCCUAUUGUCAGCUCGCCUAAUUUUUUCGAUUGUCCACUCGGUGAAUUGCUGUAAGGUGCUUCUUACUUUGGCCAAGUAUCGCGCCAUGCGUGCGUCCUUAGCCUCAUAUUCUUUCUGGACGUGCCUUACCACUAGUUGCGAGUCGCUGUAGAUCCGGAGUUUGGAGACGGAUAGAGCAAGGGCGAGGUCCAAUCCGGACAGGAUGGCCUCGUAUUCUGCUUCAUUGUUAGACGCGGAGAACCCCAGCCGGAUGGCUUGCUCCAGAUGUUCCCCAGUUGGGGACUGCAAUAAGAGCCCGACUCCAGAUCCUGAUGAACGUGAGGCUCCAUCAACUCGCAGAGUCCACCAUUCUUUUUUACUUGAUUCUUCAUGUUGGCCGGGUUUUCGGGAAUAUUCUAGCACGAAGUCAUCCAUUACCUGGCCUUUCAUGGAUAGCCUUGGUUGGAAUUCAAUUCCAAACUCGCUUAAUUCGAUGGCCCAUUGUAGCAUUCUCCCGGUUAAAUCUGGCUUGUGCAGAAUGUUGCGAAGGGGUUGAUCAGUCAACACGAUCACCGGGUGAGCUUGAAAAUAGGGCCAGAGCUUUUGGGCAGCGCUUCGAAGGGCUAAGGCUAUUAGCUCCAUUUUUGAAUAUCUGGUUUCUACGUCUGUCAAUGCCCUGCUGACAUAGUAGAUGGGCUUCUGCUCCUUGGGUGAUGGGCAGCGGAAUAGAACCGCACUGAUUGCCCAUUCUGAGACUGCCAAAUACAUGUAUAGUUUCUCUUUUGGGAUGAGGCUGCUCAAGAUGGGUGGUUGCAUAAGACAAUGCUUAAUCCUUUCCAAAGCGCUUUGGCAACUGUCUGUCCACCCAUGCGCUCCAGCUUUUCGUAUUGCCAAGAAGAAGGGUCGCAACUCAUCGGUAAAGCGGGCUAUGAAACGUCCUAACGCAACGAGCUUGCCUGUGAGACGUUGUAUCUCCUUCUUGUUCCUGGGAGGAGGUGUUUCCAUAACUGCCUUGACUUGAUCCGGGCUGACUUCUAUGCCCCUUUGGCUGACCAUAAAUCCUAGAAAUUUGCCAGCACUCACGCCAAAGACGCAUUUAGAAGGAUUUAACUUCAUGCCAUACCCUCGUAAGAGGUGAAAAACUUCUUGCAAAUGAAGGAUAUGUUGUUCUCGAGUUUUGCUUUUAACCACGAUAUCGUCAAUAUAUACCUCUACUGAGUGGCCUAUCAGAGGUUUGAAGAUUUUAGUCAUCAAUCUUUGAUAAGUGGCGCCAGCAUUUUUGAGUCCGAAUGGCAUGACUUUGUAGCAGUAAAGGCCAUGUGGUGUUAUGAAUGCUGUCUUUUCUUCGUCAUCCGGAGACAUGGGAAUCUGGUGAUAUCCGGAGAAGGCAUCCAAGAAAGAGAGCAUCCCUUGCCCGGAAGUGGAAUCCACAAUUUGAUCUAUUCGUGGUAAUGGAAAACUGUCUUUUGGACAUGCGUUAUUGAGAUUGGUGUAAUCAACACAGACUCGCCAUUUGCCCUCUUUCUUUGGUACCACCACUACAUUUGUCAACCAAUCCGGGUAAGAUACUUCUCUGAUGAAUCCGGCUUCCAGCAAUUUGUCAAUUUCAUUUCGGAUAACUUUUUGUCUAUCCGGAUGAAAGCGUCUAAUCUUCUGUCGAACGGGUCUGGCUGCUGGAAAAACGUUAAGCUUGUGAGAGGCAAUAGAGGGAUGAAUUCCUUUCAUAUCCGAAUGUGUCCAUGCGAAGAUGUCAUGGUUGCUUCGAAGGAUAUUUUGUAUGCUCUGAGUUUCUUCUUGUGUCAUGAGGGAACUGAUGUUCGUGAGGUGAUCGCUUUCCUCCGAAAUUUGGAUUGUUUGUAAGGGAUCUGCUGCCGGGGGAUCUUUGUCCGCCGGACCCAAUAAUUGCUAUUGGUCGUGUGCAAUGCUGGGUUCAGGGGGAGAUGCAUCCUCCUGGCUAGUUCCCGCUUCUCGUGCUAUUUGAUAGCACUGUCGAGCGGCCAACUGGCUGCCAUACAAGUCAGUUUGCCCUUCGUUGGUGAGGAAACUCACCAUUUAAUGAUAUGUGGAAGGGAUGGCCUUCAUGUAGUGAAGCCAUGUGUGUCCCAAGAUGACAUUGAAGGGUGAUAACUCUUGUACCACCGAGAAUUGCACGUUGAGAGUGACUGGGCCAGCUUGGACCGGCAGUAUAAUGUCUCCUAAGGAUGUGGUUGAUGACCCGUUGAAUCCGGAUAAGAUUCUUCCGGGGUUUUCGAGACCUGCGAGACUAUGUCCCAUAUGGCCAACGACUGAUGCUUGCACCAGAUCGGCUGAACUGCCUGGGUCGACCAAGAUACGUCUUACAUCGAAAUCUCCUAUUUCUAGGGAGAGGAUGAGGGCGUCGCGAUGUGGCUGUAGCGUCCGGGUGGGAUCUACUGGUGGGAAAAUGAUUGUCCCAUCUAUGGGGCGAGGGCCCUCUCCAGUGAGACCCGGCCGGAUGGAAUUAAUGCGUUCGCGUAUUGACGCGGCUCGCAGCAAUUUCUGCCUUUUCCGCCUGGAAUCGUAUUCCUCGUCAGAUGGGCCCCCGUUGAUAUAGUUUAUGACAGCCUUGGGGGCGACUGGGGUCCUCGGGGCCCUAGAGUUAUGAUGUUGAGAUGCGUCCCUUCCUCCAGUAUCUGAGCGGAGGUACUGUUUUAAAUGUCCUACUUUGAUGAGCCUUUCAACCAGAUACUGGAGGGACCGACAUGUCUCUGUUGUAUGACCAUGGUCUUUGUGGAAGGUGCAUUUCUUGCUGCGGUCUCUCAUGGAUGGGUCCGUUUCGAGGGGUCUAGGCCACCUGAAGUCGGACAACCCUUGGAUCAUUGGAAGAAGUUUUUCGUAUAACACGGAUAGGGGUGUGAUGGGCGGCCUAUCCGGACGACUCGGCCCGUCCUUCCUCCGGUCAACUGGUUUUGGCCGGUCCGGAGGUUUGGCAUGUCUGUUCGCGUCAUCUCUGGAAGCCCGUCCGGCAACCAAAACUUGCUGAGUGGCUGCACGUACGUCAUCUUCGAGCAUUGAAUAUUUGUUAGCACGUCUGAACAAAUCGUCCAUCAUUGUAGGAGGCUUUUUGGCCAGCGAUUCGAAAAAUGGAGUGCCUGGACAGAUGCUUCUCUUGAAGAUCUGUAGGACAGCAUCCAUGCUGCAAGCCUCUAUUUGAAGUACGGCUUGGCCAAAUCGUUUCACAAAUUCCCUCAAGGAUUCGUUGUCUCUCAUUUUUAUGUUCUGGAGGGUGCUGAUAUUCUGCUUGUGUCGAGCAGAGCACAAGUACUGUCCCACGAAAGCUUCAGAUAGGUCCCUGAAAUUGUCAACAGAGUUAGGAGGUAGGCGAUGAAACCAUGAGAGGGCCUGCCCUUGAAGGCUGGCGGGGAAUACUUUGCAUAGCAAUGCAUCGUUGCCAAUAUCGAGCGUCAUAAGCUGUCGAUAGUGCAUGAUGUGAUCGAAGGGAUCGUUGGUCCCAUCGUAUGUGGAAAACUUUGGUACGAGGAAUCCCCUUGGGGGCUCGUAAUGGGUGAUAUGAGAGCAAAAGGGCGUGGAGAGCACGUCAUCCAGCCUUUUGCUGAUGGAGCCAAUGGGUGGCUCGUUUGGGAGGUUUCUCCCAGCUGGUCGUUCCGCUAGGUGUGAGUGAACGUUCCGCAUCGCUGGGGUGACCAUGGGGUCACGAUGCGGAGAUACGUUCUGCACCAUGGGAGCGAUCAUAGGAUCGGGGCGUGGUGCCCGGGUCGUGGCUACUGGUGGCCUUGAUCUCCCAGGCUCUUGUGGGCCUAGUCUUGCGCGCAUAGAACUUGACAACUGUGAUUUUCUAUCACGUUGUCUCUUUGCUGAAAAAUGAGUGGAAUCUGAGCUUUCCUCACUGGGAGCUCGAGGCAUAGGUGUACGUGGCUCAUGGGGCCUUGCGUUGUAUGCUCUUGGGACAACUCCUGUUGACCCAGGAUAUAUUGAUUCUGGCUCUGGCCUUGAGUUUGCCACCUGGCCUCUUGAACGCUGACGACGAGGAGAACCUGACGUUGAGGCUUGAAUGCGUAACACAACGUUUUCUUCCCUUAACCUCACCGUCUCCUGGAGGAGAGCUCUUAGCUGUUUUUCGCUCGCCAACUGUCUUUUUUCGAUGGCCUGACGCCAUUCGAGAUUAUCUUCCUCCCCUCUACCGGAUGAUCGACUUUGGGAAGGUGUGGCCAUCUUUGCUAGUGACUGAAUCAAAAUAAAAAGUAAAGCUUCCCACAGACGGCGCCAAUGUUGUCGCCUCGCGUAUCCGGUGGUCCACGUUGCUGCUAGAUGGAUGGACACGUGAUCCUCAACACACAAGGGGUUCUUGAUUCAGCGGUUGUACCUGCAAAAGGCAUCCGGACAGGGUGUCCGGACGCACCCUCCGAUGGUUUUGUUAGUCAUGGUAAGAGAGAGAGACAUAAAUCAGUUGGCUUUCUACUAGGUCUCAAGAGGUUACCAGGGGGAUCCCCUUCUUCUGCGUGUGAAGGCAUAUAUAUACAACUUCAGGGGUACUGCUCCUUUCAUUAAUGGUGAGGAGAUAUUUUAUGUUGUAAUGAUGAUAAUAGGUGUCAGUAGGAGCAUUAUCAUCCUACGAAUGGCUGUCAGAGACCAUGGUAGGUGAUGCGGCUGUCAGAGAUCGUGGGAAGUGGUUAUGUAGAAUGAUCGUGGGAAGUGACUUGCUGUCGCUUCCUCUUGUCUUCUCACUCUGCAGGUGACAAGAUGUGGGCCAUGGCUGCUUGUUGUGAUUGCGUGUAAGACUCGCUUUACUUUAUUUGACCAUUCAGACGAUUUAUAUCCGGGUGGCUCAUGCUGAUUAUCCGGAUGUGUUGUGGAGAUUAUCCGGAUGUCUACGCUCUGCCAGCGUCGUUUGCUCUUCCUUGGAUAGGAGAAGCUGAAACGUCGUUUGCCUUUCCUUGAGGCGGUCCGGAUAGGAUAACUGCACCAUGCAUAUCCUCAGGGGAAUCCGGAUGAUGAAGGUCCGGCUGAUAACACGUGCCACGCGUCACUAUGAGCUGCGUGCCACGUGUUUCCCAAGGGGAGGGGUCCCUACAAUAAUAGGGCCCGGAUCAUCGACGCAGGCCAACUUCAUGAUCAGUCUUGGAAGCAAAGCUCGGGUGCCCAUCAUUUCCUUUUCUGCAACAAGUCCCUCUCUUUCUUCGCUUCAGAGUCAAUAUUUUAUCCGAGCUACCCUAAAUGACUCAGCUCAAGUACCAGCAAUAAGGGCAAUAGUCCGGGCCUUUGGGUGGAGAGAAGUUGUGCUUAUUUACGUGGACAAUGUGUAUGGCGAUGGAAUUAUACCUUAUAUGACUGAUGCCUUGCAAGGGAUCGAUGUCCGUGUCACUUACCGUAGUGUAAUUUCUCCAUCAGCCACUGAUGAUCAAAUUGGUGAAGAGCUUUACAAGCUGAUGACAAUGCAAACUAGAGUUUUCAUUGUACACAUGUGUACACCUCUGGGGUCUUACCUUUUUACCAAAGCAGAUGAGAUUGGAAUGAUGGAAGAGGGCUAUGUUUGGAUACUAACUGAUGGGCUAACCGACCUCUUGAGUACUUUGGAUCCCUCAGUCAUUGACUCAAUGCAGGGGGUGUUGGGCGUAAAGCCUCAUGUUCCAAGAACAAAAGAGCUCGAAAAUUUCAGAGUCCGAUGGAAAAGGAAGUUCCGGCUAGAUCAUCCAAAAGAUGAGACCUCUGAGCUGAACAUUUUUGGAUUAUGGGCUUAUGACGCUGCUUCUGCACUAGCCAUGGCUGUUGAGAAAGUUGGGGCAACAAACUUCAGCUUCCAAAAGACUAAUAUUUCCAGCAAUUCGAUGCUUCUUGACACCAUUAGAGUCUCUCAAAUUGGUACAAAUCUUCUCCAGUCACUGUUAAGUACCAAAUUGAAAGGUCUCAGUGGAUAUUUUCAAAUAUUUGAUGGGCAACUUCACUCGACAGCCUUUGAGAUAGUUAAUGUGAUUGGGAAAGGGGAAAGAGGGGUAGGAUUUUCAACUAAGCAACAUUUCUUUUCUUCACUAGGAAGACUUUUCUUUGUUAACCACACGAUGGUUCAAAGACGCAAAAGUCUCCAUGAAUUAAAUUUCCCCCUUGGUUUAAAAGUGACGCGUAUGACCUAUGGCACUAAGAAAUAAUGAGAUGUAGAAUGGAAGGCAUAUAAAAAAAUUAAGGUUAUCUCCAAGAAAAUCUCUGACAUAUAUGGUCCACCUUUCUGGUAUAACAAGAUUUAUGAUUAUUUCACGAAUUCUAGAAUGUAUGGGACCAAGGGGAUGUAUUUUCCUUUUUUGUGCGUACCUUGUUUGAUUUCUGAUAAUAUAGUAGAAAUAGAAUGAAACAUUAGAAUCAUAAAAUUUUAAUUAUUGUGAAAUUCAGCUCUAGAUUUAUUACAAAAUGAGGAAGUUCAAGCCAUCAUAGGACCAGCAUCCUCCAUGCAGGCCAACUUUGUGAUUGGUCUCGGAGACAAGGCUCAUGUGCCCAUCAUUUCAUUUUCCGCAACUAGUCCUUUCCCUUUCUUCGCUCCGGAGUCCAUAUUUUGUCCGAGCCACACUGAAUGACUCAGCUCAAGUACCAGCUAUAAUGGCAAUUGUCCAAGCCUUUGGGCGGAGAGAAGUUGUGCUCAUUUACGUGGACAACGAGUAUGGAAAUGGAGUGAUACCAUAUCUUACUGAUGCCUUGCAAGAGAUUGACACCCGUAUCUCCUAUUGGGAUACCAUAUCUUACUGAUGCCUUGCAAGAGCGUCAUUCAUCCAUUAGCCACUGAUGAUCAAAUCCUCGAAGAGCUUUACAAGUUGAUGACGAUGCCAACCAGAGUUUUCAUUGUACACAUGCUUACACCUCUAGGCUCACGGCUUUUCACCAGAGCGAAUGAGAUUGGAAUGAUGAAAGAAGGUUAUGUUUGGAUUCUAACUGAUGGGUUAACUGAUAUCUUGAGUACUUUGGAUCCAUCUGUCAUUGAUUCAAUGCAAGGAGUGUUGGGCGUGAAGCCUCAUGUUCCAAGAUCGAAAGAGCUUGAAAGUUUUAAAAUCAGAUGGAAAAGGAAAAUCCAACAAGAAUAUCCAAACAAGAAAAUCACUUUAUAUUGAUUUUCUGGAGUUGAUUUUCUUUUUCACACUUAAAUUUUGUUAACAGAGGAGAGAGUUGUCAGCAACUUGGCUCGGUUUGUGGUGAUCAUAUGGCUUUUUGUGGUGCUGAUUCUUACUCAAAGUUACACAGCCAGCUUGACUUCAAUGUUGAGAGUUCAACAGCUCAACCCAACCAUCACCGAUAUAAAUGAGCUGAUAAAGAAAGGGGAGCGUGUAGGUUGCCAACAUGCCUCUUUCGUUCAUGAAUUCUUGAUCAAAUGGAUGAAAUUUGAUGAGUCCAAGCUUGUAAUCUAUGAGUCACCAGAAGAACUGGAUGAAUUAUUUUCAAAAGGUGGAAUUGCUGCUGCAUUUGAUGAAAUCCCUUACAUGAAGACUUUCCUCCCAAAAUAUUGCUCCAAAUACACUGCAGUGGGACCAAGAUACAAGUUUGAUGGGUUUAGAUUUGUAAGUACUCUCUCCUAACACACGUACGUGUAUAAAUUUUCAUACCGAGGUUUCUUAUUUUUUGAUAAUUUUUCAGGUGUUUCCAAAGGGUUCACCCCUUGUAGCUGAUGUUUCAAGGAAAGUCUUAAACGUGACCGAGGGAGCCAAAAUGCUACAAUUUGAGAAGGCGUGGUUUGGGCAAACACCCAGUUGUCCAGAGCUCACCAGCUCAGUUUCUUCAGACAGCAUCGGGCUUAAUAGAUUUUGGGGCCUAUUCCUCAUUGCUGGAGUCGCUUCAUUUGUAGCUCUCAUCACAUGCAUCAUCACAUUCCUUUAUGAAAAUAGAGACGCAUUAAUAAACUUGAAUCCCUCAUCUUCCAUAUGGAGAAAAUUUAAAGCCAUGGUGACACGCUUUGACCACAAAGAUCUUAGGUCCCAUACUUUUAGAAAAAGUGAUCAACUUCAAGACAAGAGGCAUCAAAUCCAUGGAUGCAGCUACACCAACUUCCCUCCAAGUCCAUCGAGCCUUUUGAUCCCAACCGCCAACAAUUUUGCUUUCUUCGGAGAACAAGGAACACCUUCUUCUGGACAUGCUGAUCCAGUCGGUCCAAAUCGGCGGAUGUCUCCACAUAUAUUGUUUGAAUAUGAGCUUGCUAAUAUAAAUCACGAGCAAACGAAGACCGCAUGUAAUUGAAUAACCGAUAGAUCAAUUCGGUUUCCUGUGGUCCUUAUGCCGGUGGCACAAUUACCCACAACCAUGAAUUAAAAAAAAAAAAAAAAUGUUGUUGUGUUAUAGCCAUACGCAUUUCAGUUAAAUGAUUGUUCAAUGCCAACUAUUUGCUAUGAACAAUAAAUUCUGUCAAAUUUACGAAUUUAUUGUUGCCUAACGCAACAGGUCAACUUCUUGUGCUUUACAGGCAAAAAAAAAAAAAAAAAUCAAUAUUUGUGGUUGACAUUGCUUCCCCACACACAACAUCUUGAUCAAUGGAGGGAAUGUAAAGACAUAUAUUCAUUUUCAAGGUUAUUCUUUAGUGCAGUUCUUUUUGUUCCUAUUUGAAAAGUAAAACUAUAAUUAUAAGAUUUUUUGGAGAUCUGUGAUGAUAGUGAAGGACUCUCCUCUCUUGUACCAUUCUUUUAAUACAGUAGAUUUCCUUCUCUGAUUAUGGUUUUUUUGGUCAAGAGUUUUUCAGGUAAAUUUAUAUGUUUUUAUUCUUUUUUUUAUUUUUUAUUUUUAUUUUUUUAUUGUCUGUUCUCAUUAUUGUGUAACAUAAUUCAUUAAUUCUGAAUGAUGUAAUUUUUUGUGAGAAUAAAUAAUUUUUAUUUAAAAAAUAUUUUAAAAAUUAUCAUUUUCAUUCCAAGGGUAGCCACAUAUCAUCAUAAACCUAUUAAAUUCCAUGCGUCCGAAUGCAGAAGAUGAUAGGUCUAUCACCAUGUGAGUACUGCCAACUGCCACCAACACUAGUGAAUAUUAUUGGAAUUCAACUACAUGCUACAGGCGAUGAAUAGCUCCAUGGAGUUCAUCAAGAAAACCUCUCUCUUAUGACUUUACUGGGUCAAAUGCUAGCGCAAGAAGCAAGCUAAAAUGUGUGUUUCCAUGGAAGAACAUUUAUAAGGAUACAUUCUUAUCAUGAUUUCAUCAUUAUAUAUAAGUUACGUUUUCUUAUUUAAUUAGUAUUUUAAAAGAUUCAAUCUUUGACCGCCUUAACUCGCCCAAGUAUUGGUUGGGCUUUGUAUUCACAGCUAUCCAUCUGGGUCUUGUUACAGUGCCUUCGCUUCUAGGCUUCUGAUUCUUGCUUUUCCAAAUUCUAGGACCUAUAAAUGAACUGUAUUCUGCAUUAUUGUGAACCAUCAAGAAUCCGAAACAAACAAACCUCCUCUUUGGGGUGGUUAAUUGCUUACUUGUUUUGGACACAGGUUCAUCUGUAUCUAUCAUAAAAAACUUCUGUUUGAAAAAAGAAUCCUCUCCACUUGGUUUGAAAGAAGAUAAAGGAAAAGGGCAAAUGCUGAAUUUUCCUCCGCUCAAGUUGUAUUUUCUGGUGGGCUUUCAACGUGAGAAUAACAAGAAAAUCAAAAGCUUUAAUUUCUUGUGACCCCUUUAAUUUAUAGUCUCAAGAUGGAUGAAAUGAUAUAAAUAAUCUCCGUCUCAUCCCUUUUUUUCUCCUUUUUGUUUAGGUGUAAUGAGUGAAGCAAAGAACUAAUUUGUAUUUUUUCCCUUAUCAGUCAAUGCUCUUACACCUAAUGACAUACGAGACCCGUUAGAUUCCAAGACCAAGACAUUACUUGCAUCAUAAGUUUUUGGGAGCCAUGCAUAUGCUAAAAUUGAGAGAGAAAGAGAGAGAGAGAAAGAGAGAGAGAACUACUCUUAUUUAAUGCUUAUUAAUUGGGAUUUAGACCCAUUGGAGUCAUAGCAUGUGUGGGUAGAAAAAGACAAAAUUCCGAGAUGACGUCCUUUCACUUAUAAGUUGCUCAGUCUUAUCUUCAAGACAGCGAAUUGUAAGAAAAUAUUUGCCUUACAUUUGGUAUACAAACAUAAUCUAAAUGCAUGCCAAGCACUACCAUCAAACGCUGGUAACUUCGAAAUAUCUUGUAGCUAACUGCCAAAGAUGUGAACUUCUACAUGUUCCAUAAUAUUUCCAACAACACAUGAUUUCAUGGCGAAGCUGAGUAUUGGAAUUCAAAUCAGUAGAAUACAAGAAAAAUAAUAUUGAAUAGUAAAGCUUGAAUUAAUCUCACAACAAGAAAAAAGAGAUAUGGUGACAUUUAUAAUGAGUCACUAUAAACAUAGGGUGUCGCUACAACUUAGCGUCACCUUAUCCACUGACACCAUAGAGGGUACCAAUUGGUGACGUAUUUGGAAGCGACACCAAAGCAGAUAAAUGAUGACACAUUCAGAAGCAACACCAUAUAUUUUUAGUUAUAUUUAAUUUGAUAUAGAGUUGCAUGAGAUAUAUAAGGUGUCAUAUUAAAUGCAUCACCUUUUAGUUAUGGUGUCACGUUAAAUGCAUCACCUUUGAGUUAUGGUGUCACAUCAUUGUAAAUGAUUAUGGAAGAUAUGGUUGUUUUUUAUUAAUUAGCCUAUUGAUUUUUGUAAUGCUUAUUAACAAAUAAGAUCAACUUGUGUAUAUUUUGUCCAUAAAUAUAAUAAUCAUAUCACAUUUUAACUUAUAUUUUCGUAGUGCUUAUGGAUUAACCUGUAAUACAUUACAUCAUCCAAUGAUAUUUGUAUAUCAAAUGUUUACAAAAUGAUAGUACAUCAAACCCUCACUUGUAUAUCAAAUGUUUACAAAAUGAUAGUACAUCAAACCCACCGAAACUAAAAAAGAAAAGUGAAUACAUAUUAAAAUAUGAUUUAGAAAUGUUAAGCAUUCCAACAUUCAUGUAUACCUGCAUUUCAUAUGCAUAAAACCGACUAAUCAUAAAAUGACAAAAGAGUUGCAUCCAAAAACCCAAAAUUCUCAAUACCAAAUAAAGUAACAUUGAUGUCCUAUAAUGUAUGGCAUAAGAGUCACAUCUAAAAACCCAAAAUGUUGUUGUUUCUUUCUCCUUUCUUUUUAUUCUUCAUAAUGUCUUCCCAAGAGUGUAUACCUGCAUUUCAUAGUUUAAUGAGAUUUAGAGUUUUAUUAAAAAUAAAAAUUAAUUGAUGUUAUAAAAAAUAAACAAAUCUAAGUACUAAUGUUUUCUUUUUUCUUUUUCCCAUUUUGAUAUAAAAAUAGUUUGUAAAGAAUAAGUAAUGUUAUACAAUACCAAUGGAAAAUUCAUAUAACAACUAAGGGACUCACCAUGCAUGAUCAUGAUUUAUCAAUAUGAUUCAUGAUUAGUUAUAACACAAAAGAAGUUAAUUCUCCUCUAAUUUCAUCAAAUUCUACCUAAGAAUAUGUUUUUUUUUUUAAUCAUAAAAUUGAAAUCAAAUGAGAACAACAUUAAUAUCAUAAUAAUUGGAAGUAUGAAACUAAGUACAAUUCAUUAAAUGAGUAAAACCUUUAAUACAAUAAUUGUAGAAUCAACAAUUAUCUCUUGAAUCUCAUACAAAGCAGUCACAUUUGAACUCAAAUAAAAACAAUUCAAGAAAAUAAAAAAUAAAGCAAAACUAGAAAAUCAAAAAAUAAAUUUAAAAUUUUAGAAAAUAGUAAUCAUCCACUUAAAGUCUGCACUUUUAAAAUUUAUUUUUUUAUAAUUCAUUGUGCUUUUAAAAAUCAUUUUUAACAUUUAAUUCUUUUUAUAUAUAUUUUUUAUUUCUUGGAAGGAUUUUUUUAAUUUCAAUAUUUUUUUUAAUGUUCAUUUUGUGAAUAUAAAAAUGUUUUCAACUACUAAUAUGAGAGGACAUGAUAUUAUAACAAGCUUGAAGAUUGUGUAUAUAAGACAAAAAACCUAAUUCAUUAUUAAAAAAUGUUAAGAGAAAAAUUAGUAUGAGAAAGAAUUAAAGAACCUUUCAUAAAAAUUAUUAAUUUUUCAGUCAUAACUCCAAUUAAUAUUUAUUUUUUCUAAUUAAAAUAAUUAAUAAAAAAUCCGGAUAUGAAAAAUAUGUUCAAAUAAAAAUAAUAAAAGAUUAAAAACAUCAAAGGAAAAGAUAUUCAAUAUUUUAAAUUUUACUUUUGAUAGUCUUUAGAUCAAUAAAUUAUCAAAUAUCUUUUUCAGAAAAAAGAAAAAUGAAGAAAAUGAAGAGUUUUAUGGAAGGGAUUGGAAAAUUUUUUGUAAUAAAAGGAUUUUAUAGAAAUUUCCUAACCUUGAAAGGAAAAUUUCAUCAUCAAUCUCAAAUUACUCCAAAAUUUGGUCAAUGCAUAUAAAAACAAUAAGAAAAGAAGACAAAAAUAAAACAAAUUUUUAGAAUCCUUUUGAGGGAGAUGACAAUAUUGAGAAUAAUUUUCUCAAAAAUUAUUUUCCAAAUAUUACCAACCAAUAUCUUCAUCACAACAUAUUAUAAUAUUCUUAGAAAAUAAACAAAUUAAAGGAAAUUUCAUAGAAAAUCAAAGGAAAAUUAUAAAAUAUCUUUUUUUUAAAAAAAAAAAAAAAGUUUUAUGGAAGGAAAAUUUAUGUAAUAAAAGGAUUUUAUAGAAAUUUUUUAACCUUGAAAGGGAAAUUUCAUCAUCAAUCUCAAAUUACUCUAAAUUUUGGUGAACGCAUAUAAAAACAAUAACAAAAGAAGGUAAAAAAAAAAAAAAAAAACAUAUUUUAAGAAUUAAAAAAAAUAUAUGAAUAGGACAAGAUGAGAUAUUAACCAUAAUACCAUGUAAAAGAAUUAAAAAAAAAAUCAAAAUGUGAGAUUUGAUCUUUUUUAUAAUCAUAAAAAUUUUCAUUCCUAUUUAAAAUUUAAAAAACAAUUCAUUUACAUUAAUAAAUAGAAAAUAAAAUUAAUUUCUCAUUGUUAAUUCCAAGAUUCUAAACCAAUUCCAACAUGAUAUGGAAACUAUUUCAUUUUUCCUUUUGUGGGAGAUGACAAUAUUGAGAAUAAUUUUCUAAAAAAUUAUUUUUCAAAUAUCACCUAUACAUAUCCUCAUCACAAUAUACUAUAAUAUUCCUAGAAAACAAACAGAAAAUCUCAUCAAAAGAAAUUUCUUGUAAGAUCAAAAGAAAAUUUCAUACUGUAAAAUGUUUAUCCCUCAUUUAUCUUAUUUUCAUUCGUUUUGGGGUUUAUGGAUUUAACAAUGAAACAAAAGAUAUGGUGGAAUGUUAAACCUAAUUUUUACUUUCCUGCAACUCAAUAAAAAAAAACACUAUUUACACAAUCUACAUUACAAAUAUACCAAAUCAAUGAAUGUAAAUCAGUUGUGCUAAUAAAGAUUUUGGCAUUAAUAAAAAAAAAAGAAAAAAAAAAUUAUAGAUCUAAGAGAUUUUGGGUUACCUGAGAGUCCACAAAGUAGAAAAGAGCAGUUGUGUGUGAACUAUGGGUGUGAGAAGAGAGGUAGAAGAAAGUUAUGGUUAUGGGUUAUGGAAUGAGAUUUUUUUGGAUUGUGGGAAUGUGGAAACAAUGAGUUUUUUUUUAUAUACUAUCAUUAUUCUUAAAGUGGGCCCAUUUAGUUAUAAUAUUUUAAAAUUUUUAUUUUAUAUGGUGUCACUUUUUAAAAAUUGACACUAAACUUAAAAUUAAUAUCAUCUAUCCUAAUUAAAAUUUUUUAUAUGAUGUGUCACCUUUAUGAAUUUUAAGUCAUAUGGUGUCAUUAUUUUAAAAGUGACAUCAUAAAUAGUGACACCAUAAAUUAUUUUUGUUGUAGUGUCUUUUGACCCUACAUAGAACAUGUUUGGGAUUGAGCUCUCCACUGAGCUUGCAAUGAUUGAGCCUAUAGCUAUUUUUUAAUUAGGCUUCAUUAGCCAAUGAAAAGGAAAAACAUGUGAUUGUAAUUGAGAGGAGAUUUUAUUAGUGAGUGAAAAAAAAGAAGUGUGCAACCAUAAUCCAAAGCAGAAUGAGAGCUUUUAUUAUUAUAACCUUUUUAUCUUCAUUUAAUUAAUGAAUUUUAAAGUGUUGGUGUAUUUAGUGUAUAUAAAGAUUACAUUAGUAACCAAACUACAUAAAAUUUGUUUUGUUUUCUUUUUCUUAUUUCAGCUCGUAUGUAUUGAGGUAUAAAGACUGAAGGUAGGGUUAUUUUUUAUUAGUAGGAAGAGACUAUCAUAUGGGUUGCCACGAAGCUUCAUACAAAGGUAUUAUUAUAAUUGUUUCUCUCAAUUAAUAAAUGUCAACUGAUGGCUAUGACACCAUCUAAAGAAACCACUAGAAAGGUAAACACAUAGAGAAGAAGCACGACUUGAUUCAUGAGAUAGUUCAAAAGGGUGAUAUAUUAGUUAAGAAGAUACUUUCUACAAAUAACUUGGUGGAUCCCUUCACCUUGCAAUUUGACAAGUCAUAAGAGGUUCGUGCAUAGUAUCUUGCUAGAAAGUUGGAAACUUAGGAGAAAAAUGACCAUUGAAAGUCUGAAAAACAACUCUUGGAUUCUAGGAAUCUACAUGAAUGCUUGAGUGAUUGGAUUAGUGCUUGAGUGUCUCAACCGAUUGAGUGGUAUUGGACUUAAGCACUAAAAACUACAUCCAAAGGCUCGACUAAUAGAGUUGUGCAUCCAACGGCUUGAUCGAUCAAGCUAUGUGUCUAGCAUGACAAAAGUUGCAUCUAACACCCUUGGAAAUUUUUUGGUGCUCAAGCGCUCAUGACGGUUGAUGUUGUAGGGAACCCCAUAUCUCUCCAUUUCCUAUCCAAGAUUAAGUUAGGUGCAUGAAAAUCUUCCUAAGGCUUUCUAAAUCCUAUUCACAACAGAAAAAUAGCAUUUUAAAAACUAAAUAGGAUUUAGAAUGUGCAACAAAAAAAAUGAUACCUAAGAUUUAGACGUUCCCAAAUAUGUAAGAAAUAAACUUGAAUCCAAAGGUUUCUAAAUAUUAAAAUUUAAUUUCGCUUUUGAAAAUUUAACUAAAAUAUUUUUUAAAGUGAUUGAUUCAAUUUUUAUAUUUAAAUAGUUGAAUGUACAAGGUUUCUACAUUUUUGUUAUGAAAGUCAUUUUAUUAUAUAAAAUUAAUCAUCAAAUUUAGAUUUGUCUUAGAUAAUUAUAAUGCAGAAAAUGCUAUUAAUCUUUACUUAUUCCAUAAUUUAUUUUUCCUCAUAUUGUUACGGAAUAAAUUAGUGAAUGCCAAUAAUUCUUUUUUGUACUAAUAAUGUAAGUUAAUUAAGUUACAAAAUAUUAUAAGAACAUAUUUGCCUCAACAAAUAUGAUAAUUAGAAGCUUUUUUUUUUUUUUUUGCAAUAAUAUAAAAUUUGGGCCCAAAAAUUAUAAUAACAGUUUAUUGGCUAGAAAGAUAUAUCCUGCUUAGAAGUGAUUUUGAUUUUUUUUUUUAUUUACUACAAAUAUAUGUGAUCCAUCCAUUUGCUAUGAACAAUAAUUCAUCACUGAAAAAUUGUUUUGCUGUGAAAUAAAAUGUUAUUGAAAAAAGCCAUUUCUUAUCAUAAAAAUAUUUUCUUAGCUAAAAGCGUUACGGAAAAUGGAGAAAUUUCUUGUAAUGAAUUUUCCAAAAGCUUGCCUGAUCAGUUUAAUCCAAGAUCGGAUUGAAAAGGAUAAUCGAAGUGGAACUGAAUGUACCUUCCGGUUCAUGGCAGGACUAGGACAGGGCGGUCCGGUUUUCUAACCAUCCAGAUAUGACGCAUAAUAUUGUUUUAGAAUCCAUAUCAGUCAACGGCUCCAACAUUUUUUACAGGACAUAGAUGACUGCCUUAAAUUCCGUCAAAUUCACGAAUUUAUUUCUCCCUAACACAAUGGGUUAUCUGCAUCCAAAAAAAUCAAUAUUUUUAAAGAUUGUCCUCACACUAGCUAUGUCACGACCCAAAUUCUGGGCGACCCAAAAUUUGACCCGUUACCCAAAGUCAAAGGUUUGACCCUAAGGGUUCCUCCUAUUCCACGUUGGCAGUCAACCAAAACACUCUGGAUUAUUUUUUUUUUUUUAUACAUCCCACUAGAAUUCUCAUAAACCACAAUAUCUCAAAACUACUCAAAACAAUAAGAUUAAAUAAAUAUUCAUUAUAGUCCAAAAUAAAAGUUCACAAUUAACAACUUAAUCAAAAUAAAGCUUCAUAACAAAUCCAUGAAUCAUAAUCACUAAAACAAAUCCCAAAAUCCAAAAAAAAAAAAAAAAAAACACAAUAACAGAAAAUGUCACGCUCCACUAGGCCGCUCCAGGAGCAUCUUGAAGUCCUCCCUGCCCUACCUGUGGAUCCUCAGGAGAGAUAUCUGCAUCUAAAAAGGUGUAACAAGGAAGGGAUGAGCAUUUCCACAUUGCUCAGUAUGGUGCCUAACACCCAAGGGGUUAAGGGGAUUAUUAAGUUUCAAAGAAUACGAAAAGAACACUUCAACACCACAGGAACAAUUCAACAAUAUCAAUCAAACCACAUAGUUUAAUAUAUAAUUUUAUACACAAUUUCACAAUAUUCAACAAUUACAUGAAUGCACAUGAACGUGUGACACACAGUCAUACAAUGCACUAUUGUUCUCGGGUUUUCACCGAAGGAUACGCGUCCGCACCCAAAUACACUCCCCAUUCGGAGUCUUCCCGGGGUAACUUUUGGGUCUUUCACCCUAGGAAUCUCUCUCCCUUCUUAAUUCGCCCCACACGGCUUUCACUUCUCAUCACUAUUUUUUUUUUUUCCAUUUCAUACACUUUUCACAAUCUUCAUAAUUUUAUUUAUUUUCUACAUAACCAUGAUGCAAAUGAAUGCCACAAACUCCAACAUUCCUCAAUAAUUUCAACAAUUCCAACAUUCCUCAAUAAUUCCAAUAAAAUAAUUUCACACAUUAAAAUUUCUGAUAAUAUCCCAAAUAAAUAUUCAAAAAUUUGCAUAUCAAAAAUCUUGAAAUUUUACCACACUUACGGAAUUUUUCAACCACUAUAAUAAUUUCUAAUAUUCGAAAUCAACUAACUUUCUAUCAUAAAAAUUCCAAAAAUUUUCUAACUAAUGCUUAAAAAUUCACAAAUCACUAUAUUUGAAAUUUAACCCUAAUUUUGGAAUUUUUCAACCCUUCCAAUAAUUUUUUUUUCAUUUUAAAACAAUUAAUUAUCAAUCAAAAUCAAUUUCCUGCAAUUACAAAAAUUCCAAACAAAUUCCAAAUAUUCUGGAAAAAUUCAUACAACCCCCAUAAUUCCUAAUUAACUCAUAUUGACAAUAUUUACAAUUUUUUUUCAAGGGAAAAACAUAAAAAUUUAAGUUUUAGGGUUAGGGUCCCCUACCUCGGAUCUGAAAAUUUGGCUGUAAAAAACGAAAUCAGCCACCGCAAGCUUGUUCUUCUAGUCGAAUAGAGUACUUCCUUCGAAUUUGAGCCGAAACGGAGAUCGUUUGGCCGUCCAAACGGUCGGUCAAAGAUCCGACGAGUGCCCUAAUUUAUUCACAGUAACCUUUCUCUCUCUCUCUUCCCACGCGUGCUGCACUUCUCCCCUUUUCCUUUUUUUUUUUUUUUUUAUUAAAAAAAAAACAGCCCACUUCACAUGGCUUUUAAAAGCCACCGCCACUUAAGCCCAUAUCCAAACCCUUUUUUUUUUAAACAGCCCAUUACCUUAACAACCCAUAUUCAAAACCCAUUGAAUAUAUUUAUUUUAUUUCUUUUAUUUUCUUUUCUUUAUUCUAAUUGUUUUAUUUGAUUUCCAAUUCAUUUUUUUUUUCAUUUUUUAACACACAAUUUAUUUAUUAACACCAAACUAAAACUAAUUUUUCUCAAUUUUAUUAUUCAUCAAUUUAAUUUAAUUUUUCUUAAUUAAUUCUAAUUAAUCUUAAUUUAUUUAUUUUUCAUUUUCGUUUUCGUUUUUCGUUUCCGGAAAUUUCCAAUUUCUAAAAUCCUAAGAAAUUUUCUACUCUAAGGUUGACAUGACAUAAAAUUUCAGCUCGUUUAAUUGACCGACACAAUAAAACGAAAUUCACCUAUUCGAAAUUGACACGUGUUCUCCAAACACUUUUCUUUUUGACUUUUCAACCAUCACACAAAAUAAGACUUUUCAAACUAAAAAUACUAACGUGACAUAAAAUACCCGAUCAUUACAAGCCACAUGGUCUGCUUCUCCACAGACAAGAUCUUUGCCAAUGGAUCGAAUGUAAGGACAGAAUUCAUUUUCAUGGUUAUUCUUUAGUGCAGAUAAUUCAUUAAUUCUGAAUGAUGUAAUUUUUUGUGAGAAUAAAUAUUUUUUAUUUUAAAAGUUGUCAUUUUCAUUCGAAGGGCAGCCACAUAUCAUCAUAAACCUAUUAAAUUCCAUGCGCGCGAGUGUAAAAGAUGAUAAGUUCAUCACCAUGUCAAUACAGUACUGCCAACUGCCACCUAACACACGGUUGUCAUAGCAGCACUAGUGAAUAUUGGAAUUCAACUAUAGGCUACAGCCGAUGAAUAGUUCCAUGGAGUUCAUCAAGAAAACCUCUCUCUUAUGACUUUACUGGGUCAAAUGCUAGCGCAAGAAGCAAGCUAAAAUGUGUGUUUCCAUGGAAGAACAUUUAUAAGGAUACAUUCUUAUCAUGAUUUCAUCAUUAUAUAUAAGUUACGUUUUCUUAUUUAAUUAGUAUUUUAAAAGAUUCAAUCUUUGACCGCCUUAACUCGCCCAAGUAUUGGUUGGGCUUUGUAUUCACAGCUAUCCAUCUGGGUCUUGUUACAGUGCCUUCGCUUCUAGGCUUCUAAUUCUUACAUUUUCAAAUUCUAGACGCUAUAAAUGAACUGGAUUCUGCAUUACUGGGAAUCACCAAGCUUUUCAAAAGUAGUUCAAAGAUGAGAAAGGACCUUGCCCAACUGAGGUUCUCCCUCUUUUUUCUCUCCCUAGCUAUGGCGACUCUUUAUAGAAAUGGCUAUGGCGCAGAACACAACAAUCCCAGUUAAUGUGAGAGUGGUCCUUGAGUUUGAUACACCGGUUGGAAAGAUGGGUCUAAGCUGCAUCCCCAUGGCCCUCUCAGAUUUCUAUGCCUCCCAUGGUAACUACAAGACUAGGCUCGUUCUGAAGACCAGAGACUCCAAAAGAGAUGUUGGUGCAGCUGCAGCAGGUACUCUAUCUCUGUUCUUCUCGCUCUCUCACAGUAGUAAUUAACUUUUAUUAAGUGUUGACCUAUUCUAUGAGGGUUUCUUCAUAUAAAUAUACCUUAUCAUGUUAAAACAAACACACACCUUAAAUUGUUUUUAUCGUUAUUCUUCUGUGUAAAUAUAAAACUCUUAAGAGUCUUAACUCUUAUUUGAAGUUGAAUCAUGGUGUUGACCGCAUCCCUCAAAAUGUUGAAGAGUUCACUAAGGGUUAUGACGUACUGUAUCAUGGAUGUGAAGAUGAUGUAGGUGUUGAUCAUUGCAAAGACUUUUGGGAGAAGCAUCUAGGCAAAUCCAUGUACUUCUUUUAGAAUUAAUAGAUUUGUUCUAUAAUCAAUUAAAUGCAUGAAUUUUACAUUUGUAGAGUUUCUAGUAGAUUCUAUAUAUGGUUUUCCUUGUACAUCACAUGGGUAUGUAUGAUUGAAUUUUAUUUUGAUAUUUGAUUAUUACAUAUUCAUUACAAAAAUUUAUAAAUAAGAAAAGAAAAAUAAAAAUUUUGGGUUUAAAACUUAAGAUUUCUUAUUUACCUCUCUCUAAGUAGUUUCAAGAAUCAAGAUAUAUAAGAAGUUUCAAAUUACAUUAAUGCAAUUCACUAAUUCUAAUGUGAAGAAGAUAGUCAAGUAUAAGAAGUGACAUUGUAUGUUUUUUAAUUUGGUUUCAUCUCUAAAAUCAUCUAUUAAUUAAACAAACAGAACUCAACGUGACAAAGUAUAAAAUAAUAUUUAAUGUAGACUUUGCUUAAUCUGUUGAUUAAAAGUAAACUUCCAUGCAACUUUCAAAUGGUAGAAUUCACUUAAUUUGGGUUAAGGAGGUCAUUGUCUACAAAUGCAAGUAUUACUGGUCACAUGUCCGUAUGUUCUCUCUUUUAAUACUUUUUUCUUUUGAAAUAGAAAUACUUCCGAUAAUUGCUAUUAUUUUAACUUCAUUUUGGCAUUUGAAUGAUACAAGUAGCUAGCUUCUUAGGUACUAGAGGUAACAAUUCCAUAUCAGCAAUUACAACUUAUUAAUGAAAUUCACAUGAAAAAAAAUAAAAAAUAAAACAUAAAAAAUAAUGAGACAAAAGGGAAAAAAAAAAAAAAUUUAAUGCUAAGUGAUUGUUUUUCAACCUCUUUAGUGUCCUUUUGCUAUCAUUAAUUUAGGGUAUAUACCAACAAAUUUUUGAGUUAAUUUAAACAUAGAAAGCUCUUUUAGUUUUCUCAAAAUAUCUUAUAUCAUCUAUACGCGGAGGUUAUGAUCAAAAUUUUGUUAAGGAAGGGGAGGGAUACCUUAGUUAUCAUUUAGCAGAUUAAUUAAUUUUAGACAUUAGUUAUGAUAAAUAAUCAAAUUAACUACCAAAGAAUUGGUUAAAAAAAAUGUUUCAAAUUAGAUUAAAAAUUGUAUGAAAAGUGACUCAUGCCCAAUUGGUGUCUCAGCUGAUUUGUGUUCAGCUGGUGCUCCUUGACUGAGGAAGUGAUCAACAAAAUUUAUACCUAUAACACCAUACACUAGGGUAGCAAAUACAAAGCUACUAUAGUAUAGUGGCUCUAAGAUCGUUCACUGGGAAUGAUUAACAAGCAAUCAAGGAUACCAAUUCCAAGUGAAUUGGUCUUGUUUCAUUUCACGGUUAGCUUAAGGAAUAAAACACAAAAUUUGUUUGGUAAAGGUUGAGACUUAAACUAACUAACUUAACAGAAGUUUGGAAUAAUUUAGGAAGAAAAGCAUUCCUUGGAGAUUUAGGUUCACCGGGGUGGUUCCUCAUGCAAAAGACAUAGCUCCGGUCAGAUGGUUCAUUUCCUCGCAUUAGAGAUUCAACUUAGAGUCAAUUCUCUAACCGGUGAUGUAUAGAGACUCCUUCAAUUAGAUUUCACUUUAAUUCUCUCACUGAUGCAACUUGCAAUGGUUCAUGCCUCUCACGAGCACUUACCAUUCAAGGUGAUCUUUAACCUUGGACUUCCCUUCACAAACUCGCAAGAGAUAACUAAUGGAUGUCUCCUAGGAGUCCAAAAGCUUACCAAGUGUUGGUAAUUCUAGAAAAUCCUACCUUGAAGUCACCUACCAGAGGCUCGCAAGGGGUAAACUAGUGCAUUUCCACGGUUGGAAAUCACUUGCCUUACCAAGUGUUGGCCCAGGUGACUCUAAGGUGUUUUAAGUUAACUAAAAACAUUGAAAUCACUAAAGGAUUUCACUUCCUCUUCAUUACUAGCUAAAACCACAAAGCUUUGCAUUCUUGCACUUGGAACCUUCCCCGGCAACCUUAGCUCCAAGGAAUUGGAGGUUUAGUUACUCAUUCUCUGGGGAAAACUCCUUAGAGAAUUCAUAACUUAGAAAUAAAAUUAAAAUACAAAGUGAGAAGGUAAGGCAGUAAAAAGAAAAAUAGACUUUACUUGCUUACCAAAUGGUUAAAGAAGGAACUCCUCCUUGAGAACAGGCUCCCGAGAGGUAUAUAUAUCAAACCAAUAUAAAACUAAUUUUUACAAAGAUAUUUGGUCUUUUUACUAACUUCAAAACUAAGGAAUCAUGUAAUUGGUCGUUUACAAGGAGUAUUUUGGGAUUUAGACAACAAAAAUCUAAUGGAAAAUAUCUCCCAAUGUCGGUAGCAAGCUUCGGGAGGCUUCAGGAGCCAUUUCGCAGGUAAAAAAUGAGGUCUGCGAAAUUUCGCAGACACCCAAGAGGGCUGCGAAAUUAUUUCGCAACACCGAGCUAUCUUCACUAGGCUGCAAAGUUGGCUUCCAUCUUGAGGUUUCCAGCUCCCUUCUCGCGGCAUGGUUCGUGAAUCGUCAGAAGGAGAAACACCUUACUGUACAAAAGUGCUGCGAAAUUCUCGCAACAAAUGGCUGAUUGCGUAACACUUUGGAGUGAUCUGCUUGUAAUGGCUGCAACUUCUUCGUUUCAACUCCGAAUCGCGCACCGUUUGAAGCAUUGGAUUGUUGACUUCCUGAGCUUUGAAAUGGUAUAUAGCAUGAAUCAUUUGGACUUCAGAAAGUGCUCCAAAAGUGGCUGCUACGACUGUCAUCAAGAAUAGGCUUCAUGGCAGAUUCUCUUUGCUUUUUCUCCUUGCAAUCCGGAAUCACUCUUGGCAAUUGAAUUCUAAGCUUUGCCCAAGAUUCCUCAUAGCUCUCCUCAUUCUUGACUUGCUUUGGUGAUCAAAAUACUAACAAAAACACCAAAACUUACACAAAGUGAUCAAAAUUGCUUUAAAGGAUCCUUAACAUGCCAAUUGAGUUAAAAGACCUAAACUACUACUCAAAAGUGUUUAAAAGGAUUAAUUAUAGGCUAUCAAAUAGCACUUUUUGAGUAGUAAUCACUCCCCCCAACCGACAUAUUGCUAGUCCCUUAGCAAUAUAGGAGAGAAAAUUAAAAAUAAAUAGCAAACUAAUUUAAAAUUUACAACAUCAUGCUGAAAGGAAAAUAAUUCUCAAGUGGCAUGAUGAUCUAUUUCUCACAUGAAUCAUUAAAGAAAUACAAACCCAAAUCUCAACAAGAGUGUGGACCUCGCAUUUCGGCUCAUGCUCGAAUGCGUUUCCCACUCGAUGGCGAGCUCGAUUUUUAUUUAAAAAAUUGAUUUUUAUUGAUUAUUUGAAAAUGACUUGGAGUCGCCACUUAUUUUUGUUUUAUUUUUAAAGGGUAAACAAAAUAAGAAAGAAAAACCCUAAGUGUGACUCCUUAUUUUGGAAAAGGCGGUCUGUGAAAAACCGGAUCGGGUUCGGGGGUCAGGUUACUUAUCGGGAAGGUACGGUAAAAACCGUAGCACCCCUUUAAGUCCCUAAAGUCGGGUCUCUACUAAAUAAAGUGAAGCUGACGUGGCAAUCAAUGAGAAAAUCAAUGAAUACUCGAAUCAAUCAUGCACAUAUGAGAGUCAGAAAAUGCGUAUAGGCUAACCAGAGUGGGAAUGAGUGUGUACCUGAGCAGCGAGCCACUAUGCGCUAUUAAGAGAGAGGGUUAGUGCAAAAUAAAGAGCAUAAACAUAGCUCACAUGUCACAAAAUCGAGUACAAAAUCAUCAAAGGCACACAUGGCACUUCACUCAAAAUUCAUUUUUAUUUUAAAGAAAAAUUAUUUGAUGUUGGGCCCCCACCAAAGCCCAAUUCAUUUCUGUAUGAAUUAAUCCCAUGAAUUUCCAUCAUUCGGAAUUACGGGAAUAAAUUCGUACUUAUUUUAAAACAUUUUAAAAUCAGGGAAGUCUUGAAAGUGCAUGCCGAAGAGAGGUGGCAGCAAAUUGAAAAUGAGACUUUGAAAUCUAAAGAGUCCCUAAAGAUGAAGAGGAAAAGAGUUGAAAUUUAUUUGAAGAUUGAAAUGUAAAAAGUUAUUUCCCAAAACCAAGAAUGGUGAAGAAGAGAGAAAUAAAGGGAAGUGACUCGUGGCCACUAAAAUUGGCAUGCCAAGGGCGGCCAUGCAAUUGGAUGUACGUAGGAGUGGGCCCAGCAUGCAAGUGAGAAUUGCCAUGCGGAUAAGGAUCCAGAUCAUCUGUCACUGCAAUAAUGAGGCAAGGCAUCUCAUAGCUAGCAUUUUCACCCUGACUAGCAACUCCCACAUGCAACUCAGCUGCUCUCUUCCACAAGGACCCAUCAGAACUGCUAGGAUUGAGAGUGGCAGAGGAAAAUAGGGCCUUUUUAGAGGGAUUCUCUCGUCUGGAGGGCAACUUCAGAAAAGGGCUUCUUGAUGCAACUGCACAGGAGACAGGGUGCUCGGAAUAGGUAAAUCCAUGAGAAAAAAAACACCAAUUUUGUUGCUUUGAGAGUCUAUAACAUCUGAAAUUUCAGGGCUCACAAGAACAACUCCAAUUGGCAUAUAUGCAGAAGACAGAGCCUUUGCCAUGGAGACAAGGUCUGGUUUCAUGCCAUAUUUGUCACAUCCAAACAUUGUUCCAAGCCUUCCAAAUGCACAAAUUACCUCAUCCGCAAUAAAGAGAAUAUCAUAUUUUUUUCAAGAUAGGUUGGAUCUUAUCAAAAUAAGUUGCAGGUGGAGGAAUCACACCUCCUGUUCCCAUGACAGGCUCUGCAAUGAAUGCGGCAAUUGUCUCUGGUCCCUCUUUCAGGAUAAGAUUCUCUAAAUUAUUUGCUAAUCUGGUUGAGAACUCCUCUUCUGACUCACCUGGAAGAUGAUAGCGCCAGUAAUGAGGACAAUCAGUGUGUAGUACAAAUGGAGCAGGCAUAUCAAAUUUUUGAUGCAAUGCUGGAAGUCUGGGCAAUAAUUUUCUUGUCAAUGUCCAGGAUAUUUCUGAAAGCUGAAAGGUCAACUUCAAAAUGCCGAGCCUGCUUAUAGUCACCAUUUCUCAUUCCAACUGCAACCCAUGGUUUCCAGGCUGUGUAGACAAGGCCAUCCCUUGAUGGGUUCCUCUCUUGGGGACGUUUGCAAAGGCUUUUCAAUAGAACAAUUAAUUCAGCAGCAGCAGCCAUAGGAUCCGAGCGCAUGGACAUUGGGACCAUUCCAGCAUGACCUUGUGAACCUCUCACUGUUACCUUUAGCCGUGUCUAUCCUGCUAUGCCUUUCACCACAGCUAGAGGAAGACCGAUCCCUUCUAGUACAGGUCCUUGUUCAACGUAAACCUCAUUCUAACCCCAAACAAAUUUUGGGUCAUACUUCAGUUGAGACAAUGCUACUUCUAGCUUCUAUGGUGUUAUCCAUAAGAGCAUUUUGCAUUCUUGUCAGAUAUCUGCAAGGCUGAAGCUGGUAAAACUCUAGCUACAGCUGCACCUCCUGAAAAAGUGGACUGAAACCUAACUCCCUCCUCAUCACCAAAUGCAAUCACCUCAAUUGGGAGUCUCAACUUCUGUAACUUGGCAGCGAUAGUCAAAACCUGGAUUCAUUCUUUCAACUAAACCGUAUACAUGACCCAUAACCCUGUGGCCCUCCAAGAACAGCCUUCAAUGUCCCUUGCUUAGCUCACUUCUGAAGAAAAAAUUAUCCCAUGGUGUAUCAACACUGUUCAGGUUAGCUUCUCAAUAGUGGGGUUUGAGUUCUGCUACGUUAGCCAACGCACCAAUGGUAUCAUCUUCCCUAGUUUGAGGGAUUCUACUGCAAGGCUUGAGGAUGUCACCAUAUUGGAUGACUGUAGCAAUAUCCGGGGCGUGAUUAUGACUGAUCUGACUGACAUGAGAAGGCCAUUAAUCCCAUCAAUGUUGACUUGAGAUGUCCAACCCUCAGUUUCCUGAACUUUGGAGCAGCUCAAUUACCUGGAACCCUGCAUGGCCAUGCAUGCAUCCGGUGAGGAAAUGGGAAGGAGGAAUGGGUGAAGGAAGUUAUGAGAAAAUGAGCGAGAGGGAUGUUGGGAGAAAUGGGUUUAAUGGGUAUGGGAAGGGUUGUGGUGUAGAGAGAGGGAAAACAGGUUUGGGGGUGUUAGGAAAUAGAAGUAUGGGUACGGAGAUGUGGAGCCAUGCAUGACUGAACGGGUUGCCUAUUCCCAGUUUUUCUUUUCCACAGAUUUACAGCAUUUCCUUGAGUAAGUUUCCUCUGUAACAUCCCAUGACCUUUUCCCAUUCAUUAUAAAGCAUGCGCGGGACCCAUCGAGAGAAACACCCAUUCAUCAUUGUUGUUUCAUUAUGGUCCCUCACUGUAUGUAACUAGAACCUUCUGUAGCUAUUAUGGAAUUAUCACCACUAUUACAAGAGGAUGAAACCCAAGCAACGUCACCUGAGGAGUGCUCCACACUUUCUGUAAUCACUUCAAUAAGGUUUCAGUCAACAGUCAACUUGUUCAAGGUCAAUGUUCCUGUCUUGUCAUUGCAGAGAGCAUCCAUGCAUGCCAUUUCCUCAAUGUCCAUCAUUCUUUUAGUGAUUGUAUCCUGCUAAAAGACUUUCUUCGAGCACAAGAGUUCUCAUCACAAAAACGCCCAAAAAGGAUAUUAGGGCACUAAUGGGGUAUGUACCCACCACGACCUGGGUUUAGCAUAAGGUCCAGUAUAACUGCCUCCUCUGUAACAUGCCCAGAAACUGAGAGAUUCCCAAGGCGAUGAACUCUUCAAGCUUGACUUUGAGGAUUCGAAUUUGAAAAUACAUCUAGAGGGGGUGGCACAACAAUCUCCCAUGGGGUAGCAUGUAGUUUCAAUGCGUAUGAAGUUUGAAUCAUGACGAAGAUCGCAGUCUUCCAAGAAGGACUUCUUGAUUCGAUUUCCUGAACUACAACCCAUUUUGGUGAUCACCCUGCUCAACUCCAGCAGUAUAGAUGCAUGAACCAUCAGCAGUCAAGAGGCAAUACUAAUGCCCAGGUAUGGCAGUCACCAAUUCUGAGUAGAAUAAUUCAACAACUCCCUGAGCAGUGAGUCAAUAAUGACCCAGACUCAGAAUAAAUGUCCACAUGAAGAACAGGUACUGCUUCAUGCAAUUCAGAUUUGACCUUUUGGACCACAUGGUGAGGGUCAUUUGUCUUUUUCCAGUCCAUUGUGCAGCACAAUCUCCUUAAGAGCCUCACUGUCAUUGGUAUGGUGAUUACAUUCCAGAUUCAGCAGAAAGGGUGCAUCUAUAGACACAGUAAAGGCAUCGGCCAAAGCAUUCACAAUAUACGCAUUCUCACGAGGAUUUAGCUCAAGUUUCUUUCCUCUGGACGUCCAAUGCGAUCUACAUAGCUUUUCAGGCACUCAGAAAUACUCAACUGUAUGGAAAGUGACCCUCAUGAGGCUCUCUCAGAGACACCCCACCUCCAAACCAUGAUAGCCAAUCCCAAAUGAGAUAUUUAACACCACAACCACAGCAAAAUCAAAGGAAUGAAAACAAAGGCAGAGACCAGAGUGAAAAUUGAGAGAAUGAUGGACUGGGAAUCAGGUAAAGCAUGAAUGUAUAAAGCCUCAUUUCAGGUGGCAUCCAUGGGCUCAUACAGGUGAGGAGAUCUUAAGCUAGACUUACAGAGUGUAUGAAAAACAGAGUCCCACUAGCUCCAAACCAAACCACAAGAAAUGACAGUAAGAUCAACAGCAACAGAGCAUAAGAAAGGAUCCAAAAACCAAUAAAUUCAGCAUGUAAUCCAUAUUAUCCAACUCAAAUUGGCGAGCAAUGUAGAGUAAAUCAAAAUGGGAAAGAGAUGAGAAAUAUAUGAAUCAAAGUAAGCAAGAAACUCACCUCAAACUUACCUGCAACUACUCUCUUCCUCUGUUAUCUCCUUUUUUAAGCUCUUGCUCUCUGUUUUGCUUCUCAAGGUACUCCCAAAAAGCUCCUCUCAGCAACCAGAAAACACAUUACCCUCUCGCAUUACCUCACUCUUUCUCCCUCUCUCAAAAUAUCUCUCUCCAAAGUGUCUCUCUCAAGUGUUUCCCUCUCUCAGAGCUUCCUCAUCCUAAAAAAAAAUCCGCUCCCCUGCUCUGAGGUCAUCCCAAGAAGAACCUCCACCAAAAAUAUCUCCCCGGAAAAACCCCCCCGGAAUCUCUCUUUUUCUCACCCUUCCCUCUAUUCACCUCUGCUCUCUUUUGAAAAGCACUUUCCUCCUCUCGAAAAUCGCAACCCCCUUUAAAAAAAAAAUCUCUCAUGGCAGCCCCCCAGACCCCCUCCUGCAGCUGGCCUGCUACCCAAAAUAUCUCCUAACCAACUCUGAAAAGCACCCCCUGCCAGAGACGCCCCUCUCACAGCAACGUACCUCCUCUGCAUAUCCUCCUCCAGGUGUCAACCUCUGAUUAGUCCAUCGAUUCCACUAUUUUGAUCCCAUAUUGACUAAUCCGGGAGUGACACGUGGCCAUGCAAGAUGGUGACACUUGUCAAGCAUCAGCUGCAAGAAUGACUCCCAAAAUGGGGGUCUACAAAGAGUCAUAACAAACUAUGCUAAACACUGUCAAUCAAGGGAGUGCAUUAUGCAAACUGAAGUUUUAAAAUCAUUUCACUUUCUAAGAACUAAACUUCAAUCUUCCACAAAAAUCUAUGUGUAUUGGCUCCUUAGCUUCCGAGAAUAAUAUGCUAAACUAGUCUCACCCCCCAACCUAUCUCUUUUCAACACUUUAGCAAACUGACCAAAAUCAAUAAGAAAAGAACACACUUUCAUCUUUUUUUUUUUUUUUUUUUUUUUUUUUUGCUUUAUGGGGUACUCUUUCUGACUUGUCCAUGUAAUGGGGGUCCAUCGAUGACUCCCAACCAAUUAAGGUUUAGGGCACCAAGUUUUAAGGAUCUUUCAACCACUAACUCCUCGGAUUUUUCCCCGGACUUUUAAGAAUGAAUUUCUAAUACCCAAGCAUCUACCAUAUGCUAACUCUACCUAUUCACCCUUGUAACGAGCAUUGAGGUCGGUGUCUCCCAUCCAAUUAAGGCUUAGGGCACCAGGCUUUAAAGGCUUUCACCAUAUGCCCCUCAGACCUUGCUCGGGUUUCAAGGCAAGCAAACAACUUUCUUUAUUUCAAAGGCUCAUUGGCCUUUUGCAGGGUGUUUCAAUUUUUAUCAAAUGAGGUCAAAUAUACCAAGUCCCAAAAUUAUCCUAAGUCAAGAGGGAAAUAGCUUUUCAUCUUAUAAUAGGAAACUAAUGUGCACAGUGUGUGGAUAGCUUAAAGUGGAAGAACUAAAUUCAAUUUCAGUAGAAGUUUCAACAAUUGAACCACUUUAGUAAGCAUAAUCCAUACUCUAAGUUAAGUGAAAAACAACAGUUCAAUUUCUCUUGGUUUAAUUUGAAAAUUUUUCCUCAAAAUUCAUGGAGAAUAGAGUAACAAGAGUAAAAAGUAAAAACUACAACUAAUUAACCAAUAUAAUUACAAUACCAAAAAGAUUUAACAUACUUCCUUCCUCAUACCCCCCAACCGAACUGAGCAUUGUCCUCAAUGUGAUUUGAGUGACUGUAAUAAAAGGGAGGAAGUGGUACCUUCUUGCUGAUAUCAAAUUCGAAUAUUGAUUGGGGAAAACCACAUGUUUCAAAAAGAAUAGAAUAUGUGAGAAAAGGAAAUAAGGAGAACUUAAUGCUAACUUUUAACAAGAAAAAAUUCAACUUGUAUUACUUUGAGUUCAUUUGAUUACAAUGCUAAAGACAAGUAACACAAGGAAUCCCAUAUAUAGUACCAAAAUACUGGGAUUUCUUUUCAACAAAAAAAAAAACAAACAUGCAUAAAAACAUAAACAGCAAAUAUAUAUAAUGUCUGAUGAAUGGGGUGGUGGUGCUAGGCAGAAGGAUCUGCCUCCUCUGUAGGUGGAUCAGUUGGGGCUUCUGGCUCUGGAGGAUGAGAAAUGGAGGGCUCUACAGCUUGUGGCAGAUCGAAAUGGACUUGAAGCUGCCUUAGGAUGGCAGCUUGUUGAGCCUGAGAGGCUAACAUCUGCUCCUGGCAUGCUUUGAUGGCUGCCAACUCCUGAGCAAGAUUGCUCUGGGAAGCUGUAAGAGUCUCCAAUGCACGGCACAGCUCUCGAUAUUCGGAUAUAGGGAUGGCCAUCCUCGGCUUAGCUGAUGUGGAUGGCUGUGAUGGGGCAGGUGCAGCUGGUGAAGCUCGAGGGAUGGCAGGAGUAGCAAGUGUUAUACCUUCAGGUGCAUGUCUUGGGGAGGCUCUCCUUGCUGCUGGCUGAGGCUGCCCAGGCUGAUCAAUUUUGUAGGCCGUCAUAUUAUUCCAUUUAUCAAGAGUAAAUGGCUCACGACAUAUUCUCUUUUUCUUCAGCUGAGGCUCAGCUGGGUAUCCUAGUUGUUCCAAAAUUUGGCAUAGCAGCCGUGGGAAGAGGAGUGGAAUGCAAUCUGCUCUUUGAAGCUUCUUCUUGUGAACCUUCUCCUCAAAGUAGAGAAGGGCUGCCAUGAUCAGAUGAUGAGGCCCAAAGAAGAAUCCUUCUGACAUUUUGUACAGGGCUUCCAGGAGAACUCCCCUUCUCUGGGUCCAAUGCUGCAGGGGAUAGAUAUUAUGCCUCAAAAAGGCAUCAAUCAAAAACAUAACUGGAGGUAGCUCCCCCCUCAGCAAAUGUGAUCGAUUUGCAACUCCUCUAGUUAGGGUGCGAACCAUCUCUAGCUCAGUAGGAUUUGCCCAAGCUUUAAAAUUGUUGAAUUGGGUUGGCUCAAAAGGAAUUUGCAGGGCUUCUGCAAUAUGUCUUGCUCCCAAAAUACCAUGUCUCCCAUCAAUUGUGAAAUGGAUCAGAGUUGGAUUUCUUACCUCUUUGGUUGUCAUGGACUGGUAGAAAUCCGUGGCUAUCCGAGGAUAGAAAAAGUCCCUUGGAGCUAGCAGAUGCUCCAUAUGAUAUCUCCUCAGCAGCUGGAAUGAUUGGGCAAGCUCUGGCCUCACUCUGAAUGCUGCUAAAUCGAAGCAAAGCUCAUAAUGGAAUGCCCGUGUUCGACAGUCCAGGUUCCCUUCGAUUGGGGGCUGAGGAAGCAUUGGCCUUCAGAUUACUUCUUCCAGAGGUGCUUCAGCUGCAAUUUGGGGCUUUGGAAUUGGCGCUUGAGGCUCCUGAGCUUUUUCUUGGGGUGCCGGAGAUGGUAUCGGCGAUGGAAUUGGCAGGGGACUCGGUGAUGGAACCGGUGACGGCACUGGAGUUUGAACCGGUGAAGGAUUUGGUGAAGAUACCGGAGAUUGAACCGGUGAUGGAUUUGGGGAUUACUCAGUCAAAUCAAUUGGUUCUGAGCUCUCAACCCUGGGUUUCUUCUUCAAUGGCCGACCGCCUGACCUUGUUAAAUAUCGCCUUGUCGGCGGCUUUGGUGGCGCCGGCUUCACUGGAGGAGGAUUUGGUCUCGACGGCGAAGGCUUUGGAGCAGGUUCUGGAACAGAGCCUGGACUUGGCUCCUUUCGCAGACUCCUUUUGCGGUUCGAAGGGGAUGAAGACUUUGCCCCUAGCGUUCGUGCCAUUUUGGGAUAUCGAUCGUUGGCCGGCGUUGCUGAAUGGAGAAGAUAACCGGAGACACGGACGGCGCGGCUUGGCGAAGAAGACGAAGGGGCUGCGAGAAUGGUACUCUGAUUUUUGAAACCCUUUUCGUAGCACUUUUGACCGGUAUAAAUAGGAAAAACGGAAGCCCAAGGAUCAGUUUAAGUUUCGCAACAAAACGCCAAUUUCGCAGCAACUUGCCAUUUUCGCAGCAACUUUGCAGUGAGUUUCGCAGCUGCGAAAUUGAUGUUACUGUGCUGCGAAGUGGCACUCGUGUGCCAAAACCACUUUCGCAAUUGCGAAAUACCCUGCGGAAUGGGACUUUUGGUGCAAAAUCAUGCUUUUCCACUUCGCAAUGGGUUUCGCAGCUGCGAAAUGGAUGCUACUGUACUGCGAAGUGGCACUCGUGUGCCAAAUUCACUUUCGCAGCUGCGAAAUACACUCGCAGAGACUUCUACAGUGUUGCGGAAUGGUUUGGCAACAAAAUGCCGAUUUCGCAGAAGUUUCCUUCACCCUGCGAAAUUUCGCAGAGCUCUGUUUUUCCCCUGUUUUUGCUCUGUUUCGGCUCCAAUUUCGGCCCGAUUUUUUUUCUUUUCAAUCCCCUUGAAAUUUCUUCCACCUGGGAUCAUUUAAAACAAUUAAAACACACCUAAAAACAUGAUUUAAGAUCAAAAACUAAGAUCAAAAGUAUGGAAACAACUUGAAAAUUUACAAAAUUUACAAAAAUUUUGGACUGUGGUUAAACCACGUCCAGCAAACCCAUUUCACUUAGGCUUUUUGAGGUUCAAGGAGGUUGAUUGCCUCCUUUUCUGAUUUGAAUGGCUUGAGACGAUAUCCAUUGACUCUAAAGCUAUCCUUGCCAUUGGAAUUCAAUAAGUCCACCACUCCAUUGGAAUAUACUCGGUGAAUAACAAAUGGACCAAUCCACCUUGACUUGAGCUUCCUAGGAAAGAUAUGGAGUCUUGUGUCAUACAUCAAAACUUUUUGCCCUUCCUGAAAUUCCUUGUUGGAGAUGAGUUGAUCAUGCCACUUCUUCAUCCUCUGUUUUGCAACUUUGGAAUUGAUAUAAGCAUUAUUUCUUAAUUCCUCCAUCUCAUUAAGGUCUAGAAAUCUCUUUUCUCCUGCCUUGAUCAAGUCCAUAUUCAGUUUCUUUAUUGCCCACCAAGCUUUGUAUUCAACUUCCACAGGGAGAUGGCAAGCUUUGCCAUAGACAAGACGAUAGGGAGACAUCCCAAGAAUAGUCUUAUAAGCUGUUCUAUAUGCCCACAAUGAGUCAUGAAGCCUAAUAGACCAAUCCUUUCUGUUGGAAUUCACCACUUUCAUCAAGAUGUUCUUUAUUUCCCUGUUAGCUAGCUCAACUUGGCCAGAAGUCUGAGGAUGAUAAGGUGUGGCCACCUUAUGCUUCACUCCAUACUUGGAUAACAGAGCUUCAAAAGGUUUGUUGCAAAAAUGAGCACCUCCAUCACUGAUUAUAGCUUUGGGCACCCCAAAUCUUGAGAAUAUGUUCUCUUUAAGAAACUUGAGAACCACCCUGUGAUCAUUUUGUUUACAGGGGAUUGCCUCAACCCACUUAGAAACAUAAUCUACCCCCACCAAAAUGUAAGAAUUACCAAAAGACAUUGGGAAAGGUCCCAUGAAGUCAAUGCCCCAUACAUCAAAUAAUUCAACUAUCAGAAUGGGGUUCAUAGGCAUUUGAUUUCUUUUUGUUAGCUUUCCAAGCCUUUGGCAUCUAUCACAAGUCCUACACAUAAUGUGAGCAUCUUUGAAAAGAGAGGGCCAAGUAAACCCUGAUUGCAAUACCUUCAUGGCUGAAUGGUCAGUGAAGACAAUGAUGAAAGACCCCACUAAAUAAGCUCGAAAUUUGUCCAAAGCAAAUACCACAGCUAACAAUUCUUUCUCUGUAGUUGUGUAGUUCCUCUGAGCUUCAUUUAGUGUUUUACUUGCAUAGUAAAUCACAUAGGGCUUCCCAUCUUCUCUUUGGCCAAGCACAGCUCCUAUAGCAUAGUCACUGGCAUCACACAUCAAUUCAAAAGGUAAUUGCCAGUUAGGGGCUCUCACUAUUGGAGUUGUUGUUAAAAACUUCUUCAGUUGAUCAAAGCUAUGCUGACACCUUUCAUCCCAUAUAAACUUAGUAUCCUUAGCUAACAACUCACAAAGAGGUUUUGAAAGACUUGAAAAACCUUUUAUAAACCUCCUAUAGAACCCUGCAUGGCCAAGGAACUGCCUUACUCCUUUCACAGUUGUUGGAGAUGGUAAUUUGGCAAUAAGCUCCACCUUUGCUUUAUCAACUUCAAUGCCUCUUUCAGAGAUGAUAUGGCCAAGGAAAAUUCCUUGACGUACCAUAAAAUGACAUUUCUCCCAAUUCAGCACCAGAUCUUUUUCAAUGCAUCUAUGAAGAACUGCUUCCAAAUUAACCAAGCAUUCCUCAAAUGUACCUCCAUAUACGGUGAUGUCAUCCAUGAAAACCUCCAUAAUUCUCUCCACCAUAUCACUGAAAAUACUCAACAUACAUCUUUGAAAUGUAGCAGGUGCAUUGCAUAAACCAAAAGGCAUUCUUCUAUAAGCAAAUGUUCCAAAUGGACAUGUAAAAGUGGUUUUUUCCUGAUCUGCCAAAUCAAUUUCAAUUUGAAAAUACCCUGAAUACCCAUCCAAGAAACAAUAGAAUGGAUGUCCAGAGACUCUCUCCAGCACUUGGUCAAUAAAUGGCAAUGGAAAAUGAUCCUUCCUAGUGACAGCAUUCAGCUUUCUAUAAUCAAUACACACCCUCCAACCUGAAGUGAGGCGUGUAGUAAUUUCUUCCCCUUUUUCAUUUUGAAUCACUGUGAUCCCUGACUUCUUUGGUACCACUUGAGUAGGACUCACCCAAGGGCUAUCAGAAAUAGGGUAAAUGAUUCCUGCUUGAAGUAGCUUCAGCACCUCAGCUCGCACCACCUCUUGUAGAUGAGGAUUCAACCUUCUUUGAAAUUGACGAAUUGGCUUUGCUUCCUCCUCCAUAUAUAUAUGAUGAGUACAAACUAAAGGACUAAUGCCUUUCAAAUCAUAUAUUUGCCAUCCUAUUGCCUUCUUACACCUCCUGAGAACUUCCAUUAAACAAUUCUCUUGAUGAUGGGUCAGAGAUGAAGAUAUCACAACAGGACAUUGAUUAUUUUCUUCAAGAUAUGUAUAUUUCAGCUCCAUAGGUAAAGACUUCAGAUUGAGUUUUGGAAUUUCUUCUUCAACAGCUGCCUCCUCUUCUUCAUUGAACAAAGGUAGAAUUCCUUCUAUCUUUCUCCAACUUUGUAGAGUAGCAAGCCCAAUAGGAGAUUCAGAAAAACCUUCCUCAAUAUCCACAAGACUUUCAUUCAACUUUUCUUGCAUAUGUUGAUUGCAGUGCUCCUCCACCAAAGUAUCAAUUAUACAUAACUCUUCUGGACCUUCUUCUUCUUCCGGAGUGAUUUGCUUUUUAGACAUAUAGAAAAUAUUGAGAUCCAGUGUCAUAUUACCAAAAGUGAGUUGCAUAAGCCCAUUUCUCCAAUUAAUGAUUGCAUUUGAAGUUGCAAGAAAUGGCCUUCCAAGGAUGAUAGGAACUAAAUUAGCUUCCUUUACAGUAGGAUCUGUAUCAAGAACAAUAAAAUCUACUGGAUAGUAGAAAUUAUCCACUUGAACCAAUACAUCCUCAAUUACCCCUCUUGGAAUUUUCACUGAUCUAUCUGCUAGAGAUAAAGUGAUUGCUGUUGGCUUCAACUCUCCAAGUCCUAAUUACUUGUAGACAGAAUAUGGAAGCAAAUUCACACUUGCUCCCAAAUCUAGCAAGGCUUUCUCCACUACCUUUCCUCCAAUCAUGACUGAAAUGGUAGGACUUCCAGGGUCUUUGUACUUCAAAGGAGACUUACAUUGUAAGAUUGCACUUACUUGCUCAAUCAAGAAGGCUUUCUUGUUUACAGUCAACCCUCUUUUGAUAGUACACAAGUCCUUAAGGAAUUUUGCAUAUGUUGGAACUUGUUUGAUCAUAUCCAGUAGUGGAAUAUUAACUUUCACUUGCCUCAAGACUUCAAGGAUUUCAGCUGCAUUUCUAACCCCCUUUUUCCCAUGUAAUGCUUGAGGAAAAGGUGGAGAAGUUGAUUUCUUCAGCAUUUCUUCCUUCAAAAGCUCUUUCUCUGGAAUUGCUUUGAUUGUUGCAUCAGAGUCCUUCUUUUCUUCACUGAUCUCACUCUCUUUAUCUUCCAUUUCCUUCCCUUUCUUUAUCUCUUCUUCUUUCUCAACAUGUGGCUUGGGUGUUGGCUGCUCAAUUUUUUUACCACUCCUUAGAGUGAUCAAAGCUUUCACAUCUUUCAUCUGUGAUGAUUCUCCCUCAUGGCUUUCCACUUCAUGGACACCUUUGGGAUUUUGGUUAGAUUGAGAAGGAAAUCUUCCUUUUUCUUGCAGUGUAUUCAAAUUUGUAAGCCUUGAAAUUGAAUAUUGGAUGUUAUCAAACUUUUGGUUCAUAUCAUUUUGCAUUCCAUCCAUUCUUUUGUUCAACACACUCUCCAUUCUAUCCAUUCUUUGAUCAACUCGAGCAUUGGUGGCUUCUUGCUUUCCCACAAAAUCUCCCACUACCUUGCUGAGAUUGGCUAUUAUUUGUUCAAUACUUGAAGAUUGUUGAGAUGGUGGAUCCGGCUGUUGGUAUUGAGUUGCUCUGGCCUUCCAUGAGAAAUUUGGAUGAUUCCUCCAACUUGAAUUGUAGGUAUUUCCAUAAGGAGCAUUGUUAUUGGGCCUAAAUUGUCCAACAACAUUUGCUUGAUCUCUAUACAUUUCCCUUUCAACUGAAAUUGCAGGGCAUUCCUCCACCAAAUGUUCAAAUGAUUGACAAUUGGGACACAACUUCACUUGCACUGGUGCUUCAGCAACAGCUUGCACUUCAUGUAUUCUUUUCAGCUCCAGCUCCUCCAAUCUUCUUGUCAUAGCUGCCAACUUUGCUUUCAUGUCAUCAUCUUCUUUCAAAUUAUACAUCCCAGCCUUUGCAUUGUAAGCAUUCAACUGAGACUUCAUCUUUCCCACUUCUCCUUUAGUUGGUUCAUCCCAUCCCCUUGAAACAUCAGCUACAUAGCUCAAGAAAUCCAUAGCUUCCUCUGGAUUUUUGCUCAUGAAAUCUCCUCCACACAUUGUCUCGAGGAGUUGCUUCAUUGAGGAGGACAUACCAUCAUAAAAAUAGCUCACCAAUAGCCAAGUAUCAAAGCCAUGGUGAAGACAAGCAUUUAUAGCUUCCAUGUAUCUUUCCCAACACUCAUAGAAUUUCUCAUUCUCUUUAGCUGAGAAGUUUGAAAUUUGCCUUUUCAAGCCAUUUGUUCUAUGAGUAGGAAAAAAUUUCUUGAGAAAUUCAGCUUGUAGAUCAGUCCAAGAGCGGAUACUCCUUGGCCUUAAAGAAUUAAGCCAAAUUUUGGCCUUAUCUUUUAAAGUGAAAGGAAAUAACUUAAGCCUCAUCAAAUCAAUUGAAGCUCCUCCCUCUUGGAAUGUAUUACAAACAUCUUCAAAUUCCUUGAUGUGUGCAUACGGAUUCUCACUUUCCAUCCCAUGGAAAGUUGGUAGAAGUGGAACAAGAUAUGGUCUAAUCACUAGCUACUCUGUAGGGGGCACUAUACAUGAUGGUGCACUCAUACGAGGUGGAUGCAUACGAUCCCUCAUUGAUCUGAAUUCAUUGAGAUUGUCUUGACGACCUUGGUGACUAUGCUGAUCUUCAGGUGCAGCCUCCAUGAUAUUCAAGAUUACUUCCAAUUCUCUUCUCUGAGGUGUAUCACACUUAACAAGCCUACCUCCAAUGUCUCGUAUCCACUUUGGCAUACACAACUAGUAUCUAUCUGCAACUUAAAUAAAAACAGAGGACAACAAGAAAAACAGGGCUACAACAACAAAAUUAAACUAGACUAAAUUUUAAAAGAUAAACUUAGAUUGUAAAUAAACAAAGAAAGAAUGAAACUUAGUAAAGUGAAAGAAACUUUACCAACUUGUGAUGAAAAUCACAAGUGCUCAACAAUGGUAUCACAAUGAACUUGACACUCAUUCCCCGGCAACGGCGCCAUUUGACUCAUGCCCAAUUGGUGUCUCAGCUGAUUUGUGUUCAGCUGGUGCUCCUUGAUUGAGGAAGUGAUCAACAAAAUUUAUACCUAUAACACCAUACACUAGGGUAGCAAAUACAAAGCUACUAUAGUAUAGUGGCUCUAGGAUCGUUCACUGGGAAUGAUUAACAAGCAAUCAAGGAUACCAAUUCCAAGUGAAUUGGUCUUGUUUCAUUUCACGGUUAGCUUAAGGAAUAAAACACAAAAUUUGAUUGGCAAAGGUUGAGACUUAAACUAACUAACUUAACAGAAGUUUGGAAUAAUUUAGGAAGAAAAGCAUUCCUUGGAGAUUUAGGUUCACCGGGGUGGUUCCUCAUGCAAAAGAUAUAGCUCCGGUCAGAUGGUUCAUUUCCUCGCAUUAGAGAUUCAACUUAGAGUCAAUUCUCUAACCGGUGAUGUACAGAGACUCCUUCAAUUAGAUUUCACUUUAAUUCUCUCACUGAUGCAACUUGCAAUGGUUCAUGCCUCUCACGAGCACUUACCAUUCAAGGUGAUCUUUAACCUUGGACUUCCCUUCACAAACUCGCAAGAGAUAACUAAUGGAUGUCUCCUAGGAGUCCAAAAGCUUACCAAGUGUUGNNNNNNNNNNNNNNNNNNNNNNNNNNNNNNNNNNNNNNNNNNNNNNNNNNNNNNNNNNNNNNNNNNNNNNNNNNNNNNNNNNNNNNNNNNNNNNNNNNNNUGGAGAUUUAGGUUCACCGGGGUGGUUCCUCAUGCAAAAGAUAUAGCUCCGGUCAGAUGGUUCAUUUCCUCGCAUUAGAGAUUCAACUUAGAGUCAAUUCUCUAACCGGUGAUGUACAGAGACUCCUUCAAUUAGAUUUCACUUUAAUUCUCUCACUGAUGCAACUUGCAAUGGUUCAUGCCUCUCACGAGCACUUACCAUUCAAGGUGAUCUUUAACCUUGGACUUCCCUUCACAAACUCGCAAGAGAUAACUAAUGGAUGUCUCCUAGGAGUCCAAAAGCUUACCAAGUGUUGGUAAUUCUAGAAAAUCCUACCUUGAAGUCACCUACCAGAGGCUCGCAAGGGGUAAACUAGUGCAUUUCCACGGUUGGAAAUCACUUGCCUUACCAAGUGUUGGCCCAGGUGACUCUAAGGUGUUUUAAGUUAACUAAAAACAUUGAAAUCACUAAAGGAUUUCACUUCCUCUUCAUUACUAGCUAAAACCACAAAGCUUUGCAUUCUUGCACUUGGAACCUUCCCCGGCAACCUUAGCUCCAAGGAAUUGGAGGUUUAGUUACUCAUUCUCUGGGGAAAACUCCUCAGAGAAUUCAUAACUUAGAAAUAAAAUGAAAAUACAAAGUGAGAAGGUAAGGCAGUAGAAAGAAAAAUAGACUUUACUUGCUUACCAAACGGUUACAGAAGGAACAUCUCCUUGAGAACAGGCUCCCGAGAGGUAUAUAUAUCAAACCAAUAUAAAACUAAUUUUUAUAAAGAUAUUUGGUCUUUUUACUAACUUCAAAACUAAGGAAUCAUGUAAUUGGUCGUUUACAAGGAGUAUUUUGGGAUUUAGACAACAAAAAUCUAAUGGAAAAUAUCUCCCAAUGUCGGUAGCAAGCUUCGGGAGGCUUCAGGAGCCAUUUCGCAGGUAAAAAAUGAGGUAUGCGAAAUUUCGCAGACACCCAAGAGGGCUGCGAAAUUAUUUCGCAACACCGAGCUAUCUUCACUAGGCUGCAAAGUUGGCUUCCAUCUUGAGGUUUCCAGCUCCCUUCUCGCGGCAUGGUUCGUGAAUCGUCAGAAGGAGAAACACCUUACUGUACAAAAGUGCUGCGAAAUUCUCGCAACAAAUGGCUGAUUCCGCAACACUUUGGAGUGAUCUUCUUCUAAUGGCUGCAACUUCUUCGUUUCAACUCUGAAUCGCGCACCGUUUGAAGCAUUGGAUUGUUGACUUCCUGAGCUUUGAAAUGGUAUAUAGCAUGCAUCAUUUGGAAUUCAGAAAGUGCUCCAAAAGUGGCUGCUACGACUGUCAUCAAGAAUAGGCUUCAUGGCAGAUUCUCUUUGCUUUUUCUCCUUGCAAUCCGGAAUCACUCUUGGCAAUUGAAUUCUAAGCUUUGCCCAAGAUUCCUCAUAGCUCUCCUCAUUCUUGACUUGCUUUGGUGAUCAAAAUACUAACAAAAACACCAAAACUUACACAAAGUGAUCAAAAUUGCUUUAAAGGAUCCUUAACAUGCCAAUUGAGUUAAAAGGCCUAAACUACUACUCAAAAGUGUUUAAAAGGAUUAAUUAUAGGCUAUCAAAUAGCACUUUUUGAGUAGUAAUCAAAAAGCAUUCAAAGAAAUUUAUCAAGCAUAUUUUACUAGAAAAUGUUCAAUACAAAAAGGCCUUUUCCCCCUCAUUUUUCUUAAUUUUGCUAUGUUUCUUAGUUGUCGUAGUUGCAUGCAUGGUUGGCAUUUUCUCAGUGAAAUAAACUAAUAGAUUCAUCUCUUAUUUCCUUCAAUAAGAGACUCUCAUUUUAUAGAUUUUGUCUUAAACCUAUAUUUCUACUUAUCUAUCUAUAUAUACACAACACUCAAAAUAAAAAAUUAAUAUGGGAAUUUGAGGAAACAAACAAACUUCCUCUUUGGGAAAAGGGCAAAUGCUGAAUUUUCCUCCGCUCAAGUUGUAUUUUCUGGUGGGCAUUUAACAUGAGAAUAACAAGGAAAUCAAAAGCUUUAAUUUACUGUGACCUUUUUAAAUCUAUAGCCUCAAGAUGGAUGAAAUGAUAAAAAUAUUCUCCAGUGAUUUGUAUUUUUUUUUUUAUCAGUCAAUUCUCUUACAUCUAAUGACACGUGAGACCCUUUAAAUUCCAAGACCAAGAAAUUACUUGCAUUUUAUUAUUGUUAUGUUUUUUUGGGAAUUCAAAUUCAACUCUCUCCUACCAUGACUUUGCCCUAAUGGUCAUAAAUUUUGAGAGCCAUGCAUAUACCUCAUGACCUAGAAUUUUUUUCUAUAUUGUUGUUGUACCUAACACUAGAAUUCAGAGAGAGAAAGAGAGAGAGAACUACUCCUAUUUGAUGCUUAUUAAUUAGGAUUUAGGCCCAUUGGAAUUGGAGUAUGUGCAGAUAGAAAAAGACAAUUCCAAGCUGAUGUGAAUAUCUCUUAUAAAUCAUUCAAUCUUAUCUUCAAGACAACAAAUUGCAAGAAAAUAUUUGCCAUACAUUUGGUACAAACCCAACCUAAAUGCAUGCCAAUCACUACCAUCAAAUGCUAGUAAAUUUGAAAUAUCUUGUAGCUGAUCAUGGAAGAUAUCAACUUCUACAUGUUCCAUACUAUUGCUAGCCAACACAUGAUUUCAUGGCAAAGUUGAGUAUUAGAACUCCACUGCAUAGAAUACAGGAAAAAUACUAUUGGAUAGUAAAGCUUGAAUUAAUCUUAUGACCCUACAUAAAAGAUGUUCAGGAUUCUCCAUUGAGCUUAUAGCUAUUAAUUUUGUUUUUUUAAUUAGAUUUCAUUAACUAGCGAAAACAAAAAUUGUGUGAUUGUAAUUGAUAGGAGAUUUCAUUAUUGAGUGAAAAAAAAAGAAAAAAAAAAGGUGUGCAACUCUAGUAUAAAGAAGAAUGAGAGCUUUCAUUAUUAUAACAUUUUUACCUUUGUUUAAUUAUUGAAUUUUUAAAGUAUUGGUGCAUUCGAUGAAUGUAGAGAUAAUAUUAGUAGCCAAACUACAUUAAAAUCUUUUUUAUUUUUAUUUUUAUUAUUAUUAUAAUUUCAACUCAUAUAUGUGGAGGUGCAAAGACUAAAGGUAGAGUUAAUUUUUAUCGGUGGGAAGAAUCUAUCAAUUGUGUUGCUAGGAAGCUUCAUACAAAGAAUUUUGGUUUAAUAUAUUAUCAAAAUUGUCUUUCUCAAUCAAUAAACGUCAACUGAUGUUGAUGUACCAUGAAACUCCAUACAAAGCAUUUUAAUUUAAUGUAUUUAUCAAAAUCAUCUCUCUCAAUUAAUAAAUGUUAAUUACUAUUCAUGUACUCCCCACCCCUCUCAUUCCUUGUAAUAUAUAUACUUGGAGUUAGAAAGAGGUCAAGACUCUAAGGAUGGUACCAAACCUUCGCUUACAAUGAUACUACCCAACAUUUAAUUGCUUAUUUCAUAGAAAAGUCUUGGAUGGCGUAGAUUUUACAAAGGAUACUUUUAUUUGGUCAAGGUAAACCUCCCCCCACCCCAUACACACAAACACACACAUCAUUCCUUGUAAUAUAUAUGCUCGAAGUUGGAAAGAGGUCAAGACUAGGGAUGCUACCAAACCUCCACUUCUAGUGACAAGACCUAAUAUUUAAUUGCUUGUUUUAUACAAAAGUCUUUGUACAAGGAGCAUCAUCUUUCAUGUAUGUUGUAAGAUGACACAAAUUUUAUAACCUUACAUAGAAAAUGUUAAGGAUUCUCCACUGAGCUUACAAUCAUGUAGCCUAUAGCUAUAUUUUUUUAUUUAUUUAAAUUAGGUUUCAUUAGUGAGCGAAAAGAAAAAGUGUGUGAUUGUAAUUGAGAGGAGAUUUCAUUACUGAGUGAAAAAAAAAGUGUAACUCUAAUAUAAAAAAGAAUGGCAGCUUUUAGUAUUAUAACAUUUUUACCUUCAUUUAAUUAUAGAAUUUUAAAGUGUUGGUAUCUGAUAAUUGUACAGAUUAUAUUAGUAACCAAACUACAUUAAAAUCUUUUGGUUUAUUUCUUUUUUUUUUUAAUUCAGCUCAUAUGUAUGGAGGUGCAAAGACUAAAGGUAGAGUUAAUUUUUAUAAGUUGGAAAAAGGUAUCAUAUGUGUAGCCACGAAGCUUCAUACAAAGAAUUUUGGUUUAAUAUAUUAUAAAAAUUAUCUUUCUCAACAAUAAAUGUCAAAUGAUGUUGAGGUACCACGAAACUUUAUACAAAGAGUUUUGGUUUAAUGUAUUAUAAAAAUCGUCUCUCUCAAUUGAUAAAUUUUACUAACUAUUGAUGUACUCCCCACCCCUCCCAUUCCUUGUAAUAUAUAUGCUUGGAGUUAGAAAGAGGUCAAGACACUAAGGAUGGUACCAAACUUUCGCUUGUAGUGAUAAGACCCAACAUUUAAUUGCUUUUUUCAUAAAAAAGUUUUGGAUGGCGUAGAUUUUACAAAGGAUACUUUGAUUUUGUCAAGGUAAACCUUCCCCCACCCCAUACACACAAACACACACACCAUUUCUUGUAAAAUUUAUGCUCGAAGUUGGAAAGAGGUCAAGACUAGGGAUGCUACAAAACCUCCACUUGUAGUGACAAAACCCGAUAUUUAAUUGCUUGUUUUGUACAAAAGUCUUUCUACAAGGAGCAUCAUCUUUCAUGUAUCUUGUAGGGUGAUACAAAUUUUAUAACCUUACAUAAAAGAUGUUCAGGAUUCUCCAUUGAGCUUGCAAUGAUUGAGCCUAUAUCUAUAUAUAUAUUUUUUAAAUUAGGUUUCAUUAGUGAGUGAAAAGAAAAAGUGUGUGAUUGUAAUUGAGAGGAGAUUUCAUUAUUGAGUGAAAAAAAAAAAGUGCAACUCUAAUAUAGAAAAGAAUGGUAGCUUUUAGUAUUAUAACAUUUUUACCUUCAUUUAAUUAUUGGAUUUUAAAGUGUUGGUGUAUCCCACAAUUGUAGAGAUUAUAUUAGUAACCAAACUACAUAAAAAUCUUUUGGUUUAAUUCUUUUUAUUUUUUUACUUUUUUAUUUCAGCUCAUAUGUGUGGAAGUGCAACGACUAAAGGUAGAGUUAAUUUUUAUAAGUGGGAAAAAGCUAUCAUAUUUGUUGCCACGAAGCUUCAUACAAAGAAUUUUGGUUUAAUAUAUUAUCAAAAUUGUCUUUCUCAACAAUAAAUGUAAACUGAUGUUGAGGUACUACGAAACUUCAUACAAAGAAUUUUGGUUUAAUGUAUUAUCAAAAUCGUCUCUCUCAAUUGAUAAAUGUUACUUACUAUUGAUGUACUCCCCACCCCUCCCAUUCCUUGUAAUAUAUAUGCUUGGAGUUAGAAAGAGGUCAAGAUGCUAAGGAUGGUACCAAACCUUCGCUUGCAGUCAUAUGACCCAACAUUUAAUUGCUUAUUUCAUAGAAAAGUCUUGGAUGGCGUAGAUUUUACAAAUAGUACUUUGAUUUGGUAAAGGUAAAUCUCCUCCCACCCCAUACACACAAACACACACACCAUUCCUUGUAAUAUAUAUGCUCGAAGUUGGAAAGAGGUCAAGACUAGGGAUGCUACUAAACCACCACUUGUAGUGACAAAACCUAAUAUUUAAUUGCUUGUUUUGUACAAAAGUCUUUGUACAAGGAGCAUCAUCUUUCAUGUAUCUUGUAGGGUGAUACAAAUUUUAUAACCUUACAUAAAAGAUGUUCGGGAUUCUCCACCGAGUUUACAAUGAUUGAGCCUAUAUCUAUAUAUAUAUUUUUUAAAUUAGGUUUCAUUAGUGAGUGAAAAGAAAAAGUGUGUGAUUGUAAUUGAGAGAAGAUUUCAUUAUUGAGUGAAAAAAAGUGCAACUCUAAUAUAAAAAAGAAUGGCAGCUUUUAGUAUUAUAACAUUUUUACCUUCAUUUAAUUAUUGAAUUUUAAAGUGUUGGUGUAUCCCAUAAUUGUAGAGAUUAUAUUAGUAACCAAACUACAUUAAAAUCUUUUGGUUUCUUUCUUUUUAGUUUUUUAUUUUUUUUAUUUCAGCUCAAAUGUCUGGAAGUGCAAAGACUAAAGGUAGAGUUAAUUUUUAGAAGUGGGAAAAAGCUAUCAUAUUUGUUGCCACGAAGCUUCAUACAAAGAAUUUUGGUUUAAUAUAUUAUCAAAAUUGUCUUUCUCAACAAUAAAUGUCAACUGAUGUUGAGGUACCACCAAACUUCAUACAAAGAGUUUUGGUUUAAUGUAUUAUCGAAAUUGUCUCUCUCAAUUGAUAAAUGUUACUUACUAUUGAUGUACUCCCCACCCCUCCCAUUCCUUGUAAUAUAUAUGCUUAGAGUUAGAAAGAGGCCAAAAUGCUAAGGAUGGUACACAACCCUUCACUUGCAGUGAUAAGACCCAACAUUUAAUUGCUUAUUUCAUAGAAAAGUCUUGGAUGGCGUAGAUUUUACAAAGGAUACUUUGAUUUGGUCAAGCUAAACCUCUUCCCACCCCAUACACACAAACCCACACACACACACCAUUUCUUGUAAUAUAUAUGCUCGAAGUUGGAAAGAGGUCAAGACUAGGGAUGCUACCAAACCUCCACUUCUAGUGACAAGACCUAAUAUUUAAUUGCUUGUUUUGUAAAAAAGUCUGUGUACAAGGAGCGUCAUUUUUCUUGUAUCUUGUAGGAUGACACAAAUUUUAUAACCUUACAUAAAAUAUGUUUGGGAUUCUCCACUGAGCUUACAAUGAUUGAGCCUAUAUCUAUAUAUUUAUUUUUUAAAUUAUGUUUCAUUAGUGAGUGAAAAGAAAAAGCGUGUGAUUGUAAUUGAGAGGAGAUUUCAUUAUUGAGUGAAAAAAAAGUGCAACUCUAAUAUAAAAAAGAAUGGCAGCUUUUAGUAUUUUAACAUUUUUACCUUCAUUUAAUUUUUGAAUUUUAAAGUGUUGGUGUAUCCCAUAAUUGUAGAGAUUAUAUUAGUAACCAAACUACAUUAAAAUCUUUUGGUUUCUUUCUUUUUAUUUUUUUAUUUUUUUUAUUUCAGCUCAAAUGUGUGGAAGUGCAAAGACUAAAGGUAGAGUUAAUUUUUAGAAGUGGGAAAAAGCUAUCAUAUUUGUUGCCACGAAGCUUCAUACAAAGAAUUUUGGUUUAAUAUAUUAUCAAAAUUGUCUUUCUCAACAAUAAAUGUCAACUGAUGUUGAGGUACCACCAAACUUCAUACAAAGAGUUUUGGUUUAAUGUAUUAUCGAAAUCGUCUCUCUCAAUUGAUAAAUGUUACUUACUAUUGAUGUACUCCCCACCCCUCCCAUUCCUUGUAAUAUAUAUGCUUAGAGUUAGAAAGAGGCCAAAAUGCUAAGGAUGGUACACAACCCUUCACUUGCAGUGAUAAGACNNNNNNNNNNNNNNNNNNNNNNNNNNNNNNNNNNNNNNNNNNNNNNNNNNNNNNNNNNNNNNNNNNNNNNNNNNNNNNNNNNNNNNNNNNNNNNNNNNNNAUCUUUUGGUUUCUUUCUUUUUAGUUUUUUAUUUUUUUUAUUUCAGCUCAAAUGUCUGGAAGUGCAAAGACUAAAGGUAGAGUUAAUUUUUAGAAGUGGGAAAAAGCUAUCAUAUUUGUUGCCACGAAGCUUCAUACAAAGAAUUUUGGUUUAAUAUAUUAUCAAAAUUGUCUUUCUCAACAAUAAAUGUCAACUGAUGUUGAGGUACCACCAAACUUCAUACAAAGAGUUUUGGUUUAAUGUAUUAUCGAAAUCGUCUCUCUCAAUUGAUAAAUGUUACUUACUAUUGAUGUACUCCCCACCCCUCCCAUUCCUUGUAAUAUAUAUGCUUAGAGUUAGAAAGAGGCCAAAAUGCUAAGGAUGGUACACAACCCUUCACUUGCAGUGAUAAGACCCAACAUUUAAUUGCUUAUUUCAUAGAAAAGUCUUGGAUGGCGUAGAUUUUACAAAGGAUACUUUGAUUUGGUCAAGCUAAACCUCCUCCCACCCCAUACACACAAACCCACACACACACACCAUUUCUUGUAAUAUAUAUGCUCGAAGUUGGAAAGAGGUCAAGACUAGGGAUGCUACCAAACCUCCACUUCUAGUGACAAGACCUAAUAUUUAAUUGCUUGUUUUGUAAAAAAGUCUGUGUACAAGGAGCGUCAUUUUUCUUGUAUCUUGUAGGAUGACACAAAUUUUAUAACCUUACAUAAAAUAUGUUUGGGAUUCUCCACCGAGCUUACAAUGAUUGAGCCUAUAUCUAUAUAUUUAUUUUUUAAAUUAUGUUUCAUUAGUGAGUGAAAAGAAAAAGCGUGUGAUUGUAAUUGAGAGGAGAUUUCAUUAUUGAGUGAAAAAAAAGUGCAACUCUAAUAUAAAAAAGAAUGGCAGCUUUUAGUAUUUUAACAUUUUUACCUUCAUUUAAUUUUUGAAUUUUAAAGUGUUGGUGUAUCCCAUAGUUGUAGAGAUUAUAUUAGUAACCAAACUACAUUAAAAUCUUUCGGUUUAUUUCUUUUUAUUUUUUUUAUUUUUUUUUAUUUCAGCUCAAAUGUGUGGAAGUGCAAAGAUUGAAGGUGGAGUUAAUUUUUAUAAGUGGGAAAAAGCUAUCAUAUUUGUUGCCACGAAGCUUCAUACAAAGAAUUUUGGUUUAAUAUAUUAUCAAAAUUUUCUUUCUCAACAAUAAAUGUAAACUGAUGUUGAGGUACUACGAAACUUCAUACAAAUAAUUUUGGUUUAAUGUAUUAUCAAAAUCGUCUCUCUCAAUUGAUAAAUGUUACUUACUAUUGAUGUACUCCCCACCCCUCCCAUUCCUUGUAAUAUAUAUGCUUGGAGUUAGAAAGAGGUCAAGAUGCUAAGGAUGGUACCAAACCUUCGCUUGUAGUCAUAUGACCCAACAUUUAAUUGCUUAUUUCAUAGAAAAGUCUUGGAUGGCGUAGAUUUUACAAAUAGUACUUUGAUUUGCUCAAGGUAAACGUCCUCCCACCCCAUACACACAAACACACACACCAUUCCUUGUAAUAUAUAUGCUCGAAGUUGGAAAGAGGUCAAGACCAGGGAUGCUACUAAACCUCCACUUGUAGUGACAAAACCUAAUAUUUAAUUACUUGUUUUGUACAAAAGUCUUUGUACAAGGAGCAUCAUCUUUCAUGUAUCUUGUAGGGUGAUACAAAUUUUAUAACCUUCCAUAAAAGAUGUUCGGGAUUCUCCACUGAGCUUACAAUGAUUGAGCCUAUAUCUAUAUAUAUAUUUUUUAAAUUAGGUUUCAUUAGUGAGUGAAAAGAAAAAGUGUGUGAUUGUAAUUGAGAGAAGAUUUCAUUAUUGAGUGAAAAAAAGUGCAACUCUAAUAUAAAAAAGAAUGGCAACUUUUAGUAUUAUAACAUUUUUACCUUCAUUUAAUUAUUGAAUUUUAAAGUGUUGGUGUAUCCCAUAAUUGUAGAGAUUAUAUUAGUAUCCAAACUACAUUAAAAUCUUUUGGUUUAUUUCUUUUUAUUUUUUUAUUUUUUUUAUUUCAGCUCAAAUGUGUGGAAGUGCAAAGACUAAAGGUAGAGUUAAUUUUUAGAGGUGGGAAAAAGCUAUCAUAUUUGUUGCCACGAAGCUUCAUACAAAGAAUUUUGGUUUAAUAUAUUAUCAAAAUUGUCUUUCUCAACAAUAAAUGUCAACUGAUGUUAAGGUACCACCAAACUUCAUACAAAGAGUUUUGGUUUAAUGUAUUAUCGAAAUCGUCUCUCUCAAUUGAUAAAUGUUACUUACUAUUGAUGUACUCCCCACCCCUCCCAUUCCUUGUAAUAUAUAUGCUUAGAGUUAGAAAGAGGCCAAAAUGCUAAGGAUGGUACCAAACCUUCACUUGCAGUGAUAAGACCCAACAUUUAAUUGCUUAUUUCAUAGAAAAGUCUUGGAUGGCAUAGAUUUUACAAAGGAUACUUUGAUUUGGUCAAGCUAAACCUCCUCCCACCCCAUACACACAAACACACACACACACACACCAUUUCAUGUAAUAUAUAUGCUCGAAGUUGGAAAGAGGUCAAGACUAGGGAUGCUACCAAACCUCCACUUCUAGUGACAAGACCUAAUAUUUAAUUGCUUGUUUUGUAAAAGAGUCUGUGUACAAGGAGCAUCAUUUUUCUUGUAUCUUGUAGGAUGACACAAAUUUUAUAACCUUACAUAAAAUAUGUUUGGGAUUCUCCACUGAGCUUACAAUGAUUGAGCCUAUAUCUAUAUAUAUAUUUUUUAAAUUAGGUUUCAUUAGUGAGUGAAAAGAAAAAGCGUGUGAUUGUAAUUGAGAGGAGAUUUCAUUAUUGAGUGAAAAAAAAGUGCAACUCUAAUAUAAAAAAGAAUGGCAGCUUUUAGUAUUAUAACAUUUUUACCUUCAUUUAAUUUUUGAAUUUUAAAGUGUUGGUGUAUCCCAUAGUUGUAGAGAUUAUAUUAGUAACCAAACUACAUUAAAAUCUUUUGGUUUAUUUCUUUUUAUUUAUUUAUUUAUUUUUAUUUCAGCUCAAAUGUGUGGAAGUGCAAAGACUGAAGGUGGAGUUAAUUUUUAUAAGUGGGAAAACGGUAUCAUAUUUGUUGCCACGAAGCUUCAUACAAAGAAUUUUGGUUUAAUAUAUUAUCAAAAUUGUCUUUCUCAACAAUAAAUGUAAACUGAUGUUGAGGUACUACAAAACUUCAUACAAAUAAUUUUGGUUUAAUGUAUUAUCAAAAUCGUCUCUCUCAAUUGAUAAAUGUUACUUACUAUUGAUGUACUCCUCACCCCUCCCAUUCCUUGUAAUAUAUAUGCCUGGAGUUAGAAAGAGGCCAAGAUGCUAAGGAUGGUAGCAAACCUUCGCUUGCAGUCAUAUGACCCAACAUUUAAUUGCUUAUUUCAUAGAAAAGUCUUGGAUGACGUAGAUUUUACAAACAGUACUUUGAUUUGCUCAAGGUAAACCUCCUCCCACCCCAUACACACAAACACACACACCAUUCCUUGUAAUAUAUAUUCUCGAAGUUGGAAAGAGGUCAAGGCUAGGGAUGCUACUAAACCUCCACUUGUAGUGACAAAACCUAAUAUUUAAUUGCUUGUUUUGUACAAAAGCCUUUGUACAAGGAGCAUCAUCUCUCAUGUAUCUUGUAGGGUGAUACAAAUUUUAUAAUCUUACAUAAAAGAUGUUUGGGAUUCUCCACUAAGCUUACAAUGAUUGAGCCUAUAUCUAUAUAUUUUUUUUUUGAAUUAGGUUUCAUUAGUGAGUGAAAAGAAAAAGUGUGUGAUUGUAAUUGAGAGGAGAUUUCAUUAUUGAGUGAAAAAAAAGUGCAGCUCUAAUAUAAUUAAGAAUGGUAGCUUUUAGUAUUAUAACAUUUUUACCUUCACUUAAUUAUUGGAUUUUAAAGUGUUGGUGUAUCCCAUAAUUGUAGAGAUUAUAUUAGUGACCAAACUACAUUAAAAUCUUUUUGUUUAUUUCUUUUUAUUUUUUUAUUUUUUUUAUUUCAGCUCUAAUUGUGGAAGUGCAAAGACUGAAGGUAGAGUUAAUUUUUAUAAGUGGGAAAAAGCUAUCAUAUUUGUUGCCACGAAGUUUCAUACAAAUAAUUUUGGUUUAAUAUAUUAUCAAAAUUGUCUUUCUCAACAAUAAAUGUCAACUGAUGUUGAGGUACCACGAAACUUGAUACAAAGAAUUUUGGUUUAAUGUAUUAUCAAAAUCGUCUCUCUCAAUUGAUAAACAUUACUUACCAUUGAUGUACUCCUCACCCCUCCCAUUCCUUGUAAUAUAUAUGCUUGGAGUUAGAAAGAGGUCAAGACGCUAAGGAUGGUACCAAACCUUUGCUUGCAGUGAUAAGACCCAACAUUUAAUUGCUUAUUUCAUAGAAAAGUCUUGGAUGGUGUAGAUUUUACAAAGGAUACUUUUAUUUGGUCAAGGUAAACCUCCCCCCGCCCCAUACACACAAACACACACACCAUUCCUUAUAAUAUAUAUGCUCAAAGUUGGAAAGAGGUCAUGACUAGGGAUGCUACCAAACCUCCACUUGUAGUGAUAGAACCUAAUAUUUCAUUGCUUGUUUUGUACAAAAGUCUUUGUACAAGGAGCAUCAUCUUUAAUUUAUCUUGUAAGAUGACACAAAUUUUAUAACCUUACAUAAAAGAUGUUCGGGAUUCUCCACUGAGCUUGCAAUGAUUGAACCUAUAACUAUUUAUUUUUUUUAAAAAUUAGGUUUCAUUAGUGAGCGAAAAAAAAAAGUGUGUGAUUGUAAUUGAGAGAUGAUUUGAUUACUGAGUGAAAAAAAAAUGCAACUCUAAUAUAAAAAAGAAUGGCAACUUUUAUUAUUAGAACAUUUUUACCUUUAUUUAAUUAUUGAAUUUUAAGGUGUUGGUGUAUCCGAUAGUUGUAGAGAUUAUAUUAGCAACAAAACUACAUUAAAAUCUUUUGGUUUAUUUCUUUUUAUUUUUCAUUUUUUUUAUUUAAGCUCAUAUGUGUGGAGGUGCAAAGACUAAAGGUAGAGUUAAUUUUUAUAAGUGGGAAAAAGCUAUCAUAUUUGUUGCCACGAAGCUUCAUACAAAGAAUUUUGGUUUAACAUAUUAUCAAAAUUGUCUUUCUCAACAUUAAAUGUCAACUGAUGUUGAGGUACCACAAAACUUCAUACAAAGAAUUUUGGUUUAAUGUAUUAUGAAAAUCGUCUCUCUCAAUUGAUAAAUGUUACUUACCAUUGAUGUACUCCUUACCCCUCCCAUUCCUUGUAAUAUAUAUGCUUGGAGUUAGAAAGAGGUCAAGACGCUAAGGAUGGUACCAAACGUUUGCUUGCAGUGAUAAGACCCAACAUUUAAUUGCUUAUUUCAUAGAAAAGUCUUGGAUGGUGUAGAUUUUACAAAGGAUACUUUGAUUUGGUCAAGGUAAACCUCCCCCCGCCCCAUACACACAAACACACACACCAUUCCUUAUAAUAUAUAUGCUCAAAGUUGGAAAGAGGUCUUGACUAGGGAUGCUACCAAACCUUCACUUGUAGUGACAAAACCUAAUAUUUCAUUGCUUGUUUUGUACAAAAGUCUUUGUACAAGGAACAUCAUCUUUUAUUUAUCUUGUAAGAUGACACAAAUUUUAUAACCUUACAGAACAGAUGUUCGAGAUUCUCCACUGAGCUUGCAAUGAUUGAACCUAUAACUAUUUAUUUUUAAAAAAAAUUAGGUUUCAUUAGUGAGUGAAAAGAAAAAGUGUGUGAUUGUAAUUGAGAGGCGAUUUCAUUACUGAGUGAAAAAAAAAUUUCAACUCCAAUAUAAAAAAGAAUGGCAACUUUUAUUAUUAUAACAUUUUUACCUUUAUUUAAUUAUUGAAUUUUAAGGUGUUGGUGUAUCCGAUAAUUUUAGAGGUUAUAUUAGCGACAAAACUACAUUAAAAUCUUUUGGUUUAUUUCUUUUUAUUUUUUUAUUUUUUUUAUAUAAGCUCAUAUGUGUGGAGGUGCAAAGACUAAAGGUAGAGUUAAUUUUUAUAAGUGGGAAAAAGCUAUCAUAUUUGUUGCCACGAAGCUUCAUACAAAGAAUUUUGGUUUAAUAUAUUAUCACAAUUGUCUUUCUCAACAAUAAAUGUCAACUGAUGUUGAGGUACUAUGAAACUUCAUACAAAGAAUUUUGGUUUAAUGUAUUAUCAAAAUCGUCUCUCUCAAUUGAUAAAUGUUACUUACUAUUGAUGUACUCCCCACCCCUCCCAUUCCUUGUAAUAUAUAUGCUUGGAGUUAGAAAGAGGUCAAGACGCUAAGGAUGGUACCAACCCUUCGCUUAUAGUGAUAAGACCCAACAUUUAAUUGCUUAUUUCAUAGAAAAGUCUUGGAUGACGUAGAUUUUACAAAGGAUACUUUGAUUUGGUAAAGGUAAACCUUCCCCCACCCCAUACACACAAACACACAGACCAUUCCUUAUAGUAUAUAUGCUCAAAGUUGGAAAGAGGUCAAGACUAGGGACGCUACCAACCCUCCACUUAUAGUGACAUAACCUAAUAUUUAAUUUCUUGUUUUAUACAAAAGUCUUUGUACAAGGAGCAUCGUCUUUUAUGUAUCUUGUAAGAUGACACAAAUUUUAUAACCCUACACAAAAGAUGUUCGGGAUUCUCCAUUGAGCUUGGAAUUAUUGAACCUAUAGCUAUAUAUAUAUAUAUAUUUUUAAAUUAGGUUUCAUUAGUGAGUGAAAAGAGAAAGUGUGUGAUUGUAAUUGAGAGGUGAUUUCAUUAUUGAGUGAAAAAAAAAGUGCAAUUGUAAUAUAAAAUAGAAUGGCAGCUUUUAUGAUUAUAACAUUUUUACGUUCAUUUAAUUAUUGAAUUUUAAAGUGUUGGUGUAUCCGAUAAUUGUAGAGAUUAUAUUAGUAACCAAACUACAUUAAAAUCUUUUGGUUUUUUUCUUUUUAUUUUUUAUUUUUUUAUUUCAGCUCAUAUGUAUGGAGGUGCAAAGACUAAAGGUAGAGUUAAUUUUUAUAAGUGGGAAAAAGCUGUCAUAUGUGUUGCCACGAAGCAUCAUACAAAUAUUUUUGGUUUAAUAUAUUAUCAAAAUUGUCUUUCUCAAUAAUAAAUGUCAACUGAUGUUGAGGUACCACGAAACUUCAUACAAAGAGUUUUGGUUUAAUGUAUUAUCAAAAUCGUCUCUCUCAAUUGAUAAAUGUUACUUACUAUUGAUGUAUUCCCCAUCCCUCCCAUUCCUUGUGAUAUAUAUGCUUCGAGUUAGAAAGUGGUCAAAACGCUAAGGAUGGUACGAACCCUUCGCUUACAGUGAUAAGACCCAACAUUUAAUUGCUUAUUUCAUAGAAAAGUCUUGGAUGACGUAGAUUUUACAAAGGAUACUUUGAUUUGGUAAAGGUAAACCUCUUCCCACCCCAUACACACAAACACACAAACCAUUCCUUAUAGUAUAUAUGCUCAAAGUUGGAAAGAGGUCAAGACUAGGGACGCUACCAACCCUCCACUUAUAGUGACAUAACCUAAUAUUUAAUUUCUUGUUUUAUAGAAAAGUCUUUGUAUAAGGAGCAUCAUCUUUAAUGUAUCUUGUAAGAUGACACAAAUUUUAUAACCUUACACAAAAGAUUUUCGGGAUUCUCCAUUGAGCUUGGAAUGAUUGAACCUAUAGCUAUAUAUAUAUUUUUUUAAAUUAGGUUUCAUUAGUGAGUGAAAAGAGAAAGUGUGUGAUUGUAAUUGAGAGGUGAUUUCAUUAUUGAGUGAAAAAAAAAGUGCAAUUGUAAUAUAAAAUAGAAUGGCAGCUUUUAUGAUUAUAACAUUUUUAUGUUCAUUUAAUUAUUGAAUUUUAAAGUGUUGGUGUAUCCGAUAAAUGUAGAGAUUAUAUUAGUAACCAAACUACAUUAAAAUGUUUUGGUUUAUUUCUUUUUAUUUUUUAUUUUUUUAUUUCAGCUCAUAUGUAUGGAGGUGCAAAGACUAAAGUUAGAGUUAAUUUUAUAAGUGGGAAAAAGCUGUCAUAUGUGUUGCCACGAAGCAUCAUACAAAUAUUUUUGGUUUAAUAUAUUAUCAAAAUUGUCUUUCUCAACAAUAAAUGUCAACUGAUGUUGAGGUACCACGAAACUUCAUACAAAGAGUUUUGGUUUAAUGUAUUAUCAAAAUCGUCUCUCUCAAUUGAUAAAUGUUACUUACUAUUGAUGUACUCCCCAUCCCUCCCAUUCCUUGUGAUAUAUAUGCUUGGAGUUAGAAAGAGGUCAAAACGCUAAGGAUGGUACCAACCCUUCGCUUACAGUGAUAAGACCCAACAUUUAAUUGCUUAUUUCAUAGAAAAGUCUUGGAUGACGUAGGUUUUACAAAGGAUACUUUGAUUUGGUAAAGGUAAACCUCUUCCCACCCCAUACACACAAACACACACACCAUUCCUUAUAGUAUAUAUGCUCAAAGUUUGAAAGAGGUUAAGACUAGGGAUGCUACCAACCCUCCACUUAUAGUGACAUAACCUAAUAUUUAAUUUCUUGUUUUGUACAAAAGUCUUUGUACAAGGAGCAUAAUCUUUAAUGUAUCUUGUAAGAUGACACAAAUUUUAUAACCUUACGUAAAAGAUGUUUGGGAUUCUCCAUUGAGCUUGCAAUGAUUGAACCUAUAGCUAUAUAUUUAUAAAAAAAAAUUAGGUUUCAUUAGUGAGCGAAAGAAAAAGUGUGUGAUUGUAAUUACGGGGGUUAGAUAAUAAAUAAUAAAUAAUGAAUAACAAAUCCUAGCAUGCUUAUCUAAUUAAUUAGCAAAAAUUAUCAAAAUUCGGAAUAUUUAAUUAUCAUACAUAUCUUGCAUACAAUUCCCAAAAAGAAAAACGUAAAUAUGAUUACAAUAAAUAGCAAGGUAGUAGCAAAAAAUUAAUUUUGAAAAAGAUUUUCUUAUGUAGGGAUUUCACCAAUUCCCCAAAUUAAUAUACACGAAUUUAGCCUAAAAUUGUCCCAUUUAUUUGGGACCACAAGCUUUGAUUCGCGUUUUGUUUAAAACUAAAAUUUUUGUUGAAAAUUGAGAAGGAUGCAAACCGAUCGAAAUAUGGUUGCAAAUUUUAAGAAAAUGAGAUUUUUUUUAUUCUAAGGACUCUAAAUGAAUUUUUUUUAAAAUAGAUUUUUAAAGGGAUCUUUUAAGAAAAGUGUUGGAUUUCAAAAUAAAAGAAAUUAAUUUGAAAACGACAAGACAUAAGGAACAAAAUACCAAGCAAAACAAAAGUGAUUUAAAUUGCAAAGUAGAGUUUUUGACAACUGAGAAAAUUAAAGUGGUGGGAAUGGAGGUCAAUCUUCACUAUUUUCCGAUGGCCUCCGAAAAGUAAAUUUUACCAUAGACUACCAAAGCAAUAAACUAUUCGAACUUAGAUCAUAUAAGCUAACGAUAUACCCACCAAGAAUUAAUGACUAUUUUCGAGAAACACAUCAAUUAAAAAUAACAAUCAAGAAUUAGCACAUGAUCAAUCAAACACACAAACGCGUCUAGACUGGUUAAAAUGGAUGAAAUUAAGUCAAGGCAAAUGUGAAUUUUCAGUCAUAAAAUUAAUUUUAUAAUAAGAUAAUAUUAUAGAAAAUACCUAAACUAAAUAGAUGAGUGAAGCCAAAUCAGAGUAAACUAAAAGCAUGAACUUUCAAAUAUAGAAUCAAUUUUAUUAAUGAAUUAAAACUAUAAAAGUACCUAAACUAAUCGAAAUGAACCAAAUUAAAUUGAAGCAAGCUAAAAAAAAGUGAGCUUUCGAACAUAGGAUUAAUUUUAUUAAUAAACUAAAAUUAUCUAAUUACCUAAACUAAUUAAAAUGAACAAAAUUAAAUAAAAGAAAACUAAAAGUAUGAACUUUCAAACAUGGAAUUAACUUUUUCAAUGAUCUAAAACUACAAAAGUAUUUAAACUAAAUAGAUGAGUUAAAUUUAACCAAGGUAGACUAAAAGAAACAUGAUUUUUUUCACAUAAAAUUGAUUAUACCAAAAAGUUAGAAACUCACAAACACAUCUAAACUAUAAGAAAAAUCAGCACUAAAGUAAAUUGAAAUGAAAAAAUAAGAACUUUAUCAUGUAGAAUUAAUUAAACUAAUUAUAAAAAAAACAUCUAAACUAACGAAAUAAAUUAAAAUUAAACUAAAAUAAAAUUUAAAAAAAAGAAAAAGAAACUUGCCUUCAAGAAUGCAUAUUGCUGAAUCUGUUGUAGGAAGACCGUUCUUGGAUGCGUGCUGUUCUUUGCGUGUUUCAGAAAAUCAUCUCUUAAUGCGUGGCUUAUGUGGCGGCCAUCUUCCUCUUUCCAUAAGAUACAAUUCCAUAAGUACCCGAACCAAGUUCUUUUAUGUAUUCCAGGUCAGAAUUUUAUUUUAUUUUUUAUAAUCUGCAGCACUCUAGUGGCUAGAAGAGAAUAAAAUAUGGCCUGGUUGUGUAGUUGACAAUGACGGGAAUUGGAGGAUUCAUCAUUUUCAAAGAUGCAUGGAUGGAUGGGCUGCUGUCCAGAUGGUUCCGUCGGUGAGUUCAAACAGCCGCCUCUUUGCUCUCAAAUCUCCUUGCACUGAUCCCUUCAAAACAGCCCCUCUCACACUCUCUAAACUCUCUCUUUUAUAUCCCUUGAAAUAGCCUCUCGCAUGCUCUCAAAACUCUCUCUUCGGAUCAUCUCAAACAGCAGCUCCUCACGCUCUGAAAAUGCGGACUGAUCUUUGUGCGAACAGCAGCCUAUGAUCCCUUCAAAAUGCCUACUAAUCUCCUCCCAAACGGCAUCCUCAAAGGCUCUAAAAAAUCCCUCAUCUGAUCACUUCAAACAGCAGCCUCUCAUGCUUCAAAACGCAGGUUGAUCCUCUCCAAACAGCAGCCUCUCACGCUCCAAAACACAGGGUGAUCCCUUCCAAACCGUAGCCUCCCUCAAAAGCCCCUUCUCCGUGUGGAUCUCUCUGCUCCCAGAAAAUCAUAUAUUCUCUCCGUGUCCUCCAAAAAAUCCCCCCCGCUUUUGGUAUCUUUUCCUUCAUUUUUUUUUUUUUAAAUCUUCCGAUUCAAAGGCAAUCUUUCCAAUUUCAAAAUCCCCUCCAAAACCUUCCAAGGAGAGUCCCACUUUCCUUAAAAUCUGAUGGUAAGUUUCCUUGCAAAAAGCAUGAAAUUUUAGAAGUUAAAUAAUUGAAUGAAUAGAUGAAUAAGUAAAAAAAAUCAGAAAAUGGUAAAAAUAAUAAAUAAAUAAAUAAGUUAAGGAAAAUAAUAUAAAGAGGAAGAUAACCAAUAAAAAGUGAAUGAUAAUCAUAAAACUAAAACUAAAAAUAAAUAAAUAAAUAAAUAAAUAAAAAUAAAUAAAAAUAAACAAAUUAACAAAAAUUGGGCCCCACGAGCCAUGCAAACACGCAAGUCAUAUAAGUCAAGCUAAAAAAAUCUUAAUAGACCCAGUGUACCUAAACGGGCCUAAGGUGAGACUAAGUGGGCCUAGGGUGGUGCCUAAGUGUAUCUAAGUGAACUUAAAGUGCUUAAGUGGAUCUAAGUGAACCUAAAGUGCCUAAAUGAGCCUAAGUCUAAAUUAGGGCUACCAAGAGUCACAAUAGGGUUAAAUGAAUCCCUCAACCAAAGUCCGCGAGGUGGCUAAAAAAUAAAAAUAAAAAUAUAGGUCACGCGAGUAAUAAUGGGCCACCAGGGAAUUGCUGUAAAGGACAUAUGAUAGGAGGACAAAAUGGAGGCUCUACACUUACAUAAAAGAUGUUCGGGAUUCUUCAUUGAGCUUGCAAUGAUUGAACCUAUAGCUAUAUAUAUAUUUUUUAAAUUAGGUUUCAUUAGUGAACGAAAAAAAAAAGUGUGUGAUUGUAAUUGAGAGGAGAUUUCAUUAUUGAGUGAAAAAAAAAAAGAAAGAACAACUCUAAUAUAAAAAAGAAUGACAACUUUUAGUUUUAUAACAUUUUUACUUUCAUUUAAUUAUUAAAUUUUAAAGUGUUGGUGUAUCCCAUAAUUGUAGAGAUUAUAUUAGUAACCAAACUACAUUAAAAUGUUUUGGUUUAUUUCUUUUUAUUUUUUAUUUUUUUUAUUUCAACUCAUAUGUAUGGAGGUUCAAAGACUAAAGGUAGAGUUAAUUUUUAUAAGUGGGAAAAAGCUAUCAUAUGUGUUGCCAUGAAGCAUCAUACAAAUAUUUUUGGUUUAAUAUAUUAUCAAAAUUGUCUUUCUCAACAAUAAAUGUCAACUGAUGUUGAGGUACCACAAACUCCAUACAAAGAGUUUCGGUAUAAUGUAUUAUCAAAAUCGUCUCUUUCAAUUGAUAAAUGUUACUUACUAUUGAUGUACUCCCCACCCCUCCCAUUCCUUGUGAUGUAUAUGCUUGGAGUUAGAAAGAGGUUAAAACACUAAGGAUGGUACCAAACCUUCGCUUGCAGUGAUAAAACCCAACAUUUAAUUGCUUAUUUCAUAGAAAAGUCUUGGAUGGCGUAGAUUUUACAAAGGAUACUUUGAUUUGGUCAAGGUAAACCUCCCCCCACCCCAUACACACAAACACACGCACCAUUCCUUGUAAUAUAUAUGCUCGAAGUUGGAAAGAGGUAAAGACUAGAGAUGCUACCAAACCUCCACUUGUAGUGACAAAACCUAAUAUUUAAUUGCUUGUUUUGUACAAAAGUCUUUGUAGAAGGAGCAUCAUCUUUCAUGUAUCUUGUAAGAUGACACAAAUUUUAUAACCUUACAUAAAAGAUGUUUGGGAUUCUCCACUGAGCUUGCAAUGAUGUAGCUUGUAGCUAUAUAUAUAUAUUUUAAAUUAGGUUUCAUUAGUGAGCGAAAAGAAAGAGUGUGUGAUUGUAAUUGAGACGAGUGAAAAAAAAUUCAACUCUAAUAUAAAAAAGAAUGACAACUUUUAGUAUUAUAACAUUUUUACCUUCAUUUAAUUAUUGAAUUUUAAAGUGUUGGUGUAUCCAAUAAUUGUAGAGAUUAUAUUAGUAACCAACUACAUUAAAAUCUCUUGGUUUAUUUCUUUUUAUUUUUUUAUUUUUUAUUUAUUUUAGCUCAUAUGUGUGGAGGUGCAAAGACUAAAGGUAGAUUUAAUUUUUAUAAGUGGGAAAAAUCUAUCAUAUGUGUUGCCAGGAAGCAUCAUACAAAUAUUUUUGGUUUAAUAUAUUAUCAAAAUUGUCUUUCUCAACAAUAAAUGUCAAUUGAUGUUGAGGUACCACGAAACUUCAUACAAAGAAUUUUGGUUUAAUGUAUUAUAAAAAUCGUCUCUUUCAAUUGAUAAAUGUUACUUACUAUUGAUGUACUCCCCACCCCUCCCAUUCCUUGUAAUAUAUAUGCUUGGAGUUAGAAAGAGGUCAAGACGCUAAGGAUGGUACCAAACCUUCGCUUCUAGUGAUAAGACCCAACAUUUAAUUGCUUAUUUCAUAGAAAAGUCUUCAAUGGCGUAGAUUUUACAAAGGAUACUUUUAUUUGGUCAAGGCAAACUUCCCCCCACCCCAUACACACAAAAACACACAUCAUUCCUUGUAAUAUAUAUGCUCGAAGUUGGAAAGUGGUCAAGACUAGGGAUGCUACCAAACCUCCACUUGUAGUGACAAAACCUAAUAUUUAAUUGCUUGUUUUGUACAAAAGUCUUUGUACAAGGAGCAUCAUCUUUCAUAUAUCUUGUAGGGUGACACAAAUUUUAUAACCUUACAUAAAAGAUGUUUGGGAUUCUCCACUGAGCUUGCAAUGAUUGAGCCUAUGGCUAUAUAUAUAUUUAAAUUAGGUUUCAUUAGUGAGCGAAAAGAAAAAGUGUGUGAUUGUAAUUGAGAGGAGAUUUCAUUAUUGAGUGAAAAAAAAAAAAAGAACAACUCUAAUAUAAAAAAGAAUGGCAGCUUUUAGUUUUAUAACAAUUUUACUUUCAUUUAAUUAUUGAAUUUUAAAGUGUUGGUGUAUCCCAUAAUUGAAGAGAUUAUAUUAGUAACCAAACUACAUUAAAAUCUUUUGGUUUUUUUCUUUUUAUUUUUUUAUUUUUUUUAUUUCAGCUCAUAUGUGUGGAGGUGCAAAGACUAAAGGUAGAGUUAAUUUUUAUAAGUGGGAAAAAGCUAUCAUAUGUGUUGCCACGAAGCUUCAUACAAAGAAUUUUGGUUUAAUAUAUUAUCAAAAUUGUCUUUCUCAACAAUAAAUGUCAACUGAUGUUGAGGUACCACCAAACUUCAUACAAAGAGUUUUGGUUUAAUGUAUUAUCAAAAUCGUCUCUCUCAAUUGAUAAAUGUUACUUUCGAUUGAUGUACUCCCCACCCCUCCCACUCCUUGUAAUAUAUAUGCUUGGAGUUAGAAAGAGGUCAAAAUGCUAAGGAUGGUACCAAACCUUCACUUGCAGUGAUAAGACCCAACAUUUAAUUGCUUAUUUCAUAGAAAAGUCUUGGAUGGCGUAGAUUUUACAAAGGAUACUUUGAUUUGGUCAAGGUAAACCUCCUCCCACCCCAUACACACAAACACACACACACACACACACCAUUUCUUGUAAUAUAUAUGCUCGAAGUUGGAAAGAGGUCAAGACUAGGGAUGCUACCAAACCUCCACUUGUAGUGACAAGACCUAAUAUUUAAUUGCUUGUUUUGUACAAAAGUCUGUGUACAAGGAGCUUCAUUUUUCUUGUAUCUUGUAGGAUGACACAAAUUUUAUAACCUUACAUAAAAGAUGUUCGGGAUUCUCUACUAAGCUUGCAAUGAUUGAGCCUAUAGCUAUAUAUUUUUUUAAAAAAAUUAGGUUUCAUUAGUUAGCGAAAAGAAAACGUGUGUGAUUGUAAUUAAGAGGAGAUUUCAUUAUUGAGUGAAAAAAUGAAAGUGCAACUCUAAUAUAAAAAAGAAUGGCAGCUUUUAGUAUUAUAACAUUUUUACCUUCAUUUAAUUAUUCAAUUUUAAAGUGUUGGUGUAUCCCAUAAUUGUAGAGAUUAUAUUAGUAACCGAACUAGGUUAAAAUCUUUUGGUUUAUUUCAUUUUAAUUUUUUAUUUUUUUUUAUUUCAGCUCAUAUGUGUGGAGGUGCAAAGACUAAAGGUAUAGUUAAUUUUUAUAAGUGGGAAAAAGCUAUCAUAUUUGUUGCCACAAAGCUUCAUACAAAGAAUUUUGGUUUAAUAUAUUAUCAAAAUUGUCUUUCUCAACAAUAAAUGUCAACUGAUGUUGAGGUACCACCAAACUUCAUACAAAGAGUUUUGGUUUAAUGUAUUAUCGAAAUCGUCUCUCUCAAUUGAUAAAUGUUACUUACUAUUGAUGUACUCCCCACCCCUCCCAUUCCUUGUAAUAUAUAUGCUUGGAGUUAGAAAGAGGUCAAGACACUAAGGAUGGUACCAAACCUUCGCUUGCAGUGAUAAGACCCAACAUUUAAUUGCUUAUUUCAUAGAAAAGUCUUGGAUGGCGUAGAUUUUACUAAGAGUACUUUGAUUUGCUCAAGGUAAACCUCACCCACCCCAUACACACAAACACACACAUCAUUCCUUGUAAUAUAUAUGCUCAAAGUUGGAAAGAGGUCAAGACUAGGGAUGCUACCAAACCUUCACUUAUAGUGACAGGACGUAAUAUUUAAUUGCUUGUUUUGUACAAAAGUCUUGUACAAGGAGCAUCACCUUUCAUAUAUCUUGUAAGAUGACUCAAAUUUUAUAACCUCACAUAAAAGAUGUUCGAGAUUCUCCACUGAGCUUGCAAUGAUGUAGCCUAUAGCUAUAUAUGCAUUUUUUAAAAUUAGGUUUCAUUAGUGAGCGAAAAGAAAAAGUGUGUGAUUGUAAUUGAGAUGACAUUUCAUUAUUGAGUGAGAAAAAAAAGUGCAACUCUUAUAUAAAAAAGAAUGAUAGCUUGUAGUAUUAUAACAUUUUUACCUUCAUUUAAUUAUUCAAUGAUACUUUGAUUUGAUGGGAGUUGAAAAGAUGGCUAUUGCCUAUUUUACAAAAAACAAAGGUCUUUGUACAAGGAGCAUCAUCAUUAAUGUAUCUUGUAGGAUGCAUAGAUUUUUCAAAGGAUACGUUGAUUUGAUGUAUCUUAUAAGAUAUAUAGAUUUUACAAAGGGUACUUUGAUUUGGUCAAGGUAAAAGAUGGUCCCCCUCCAUCCCCCACCCUACCCUCCCCAACCUUUGCUUUCAAUGACAAGAUCCAACAUUUAAUUUUCUGUUUCAUAGAAAAGUCUUUAUAUAAUGUAUCAUCAUUGACGUAUCUUGUAGGAUACGCAAAUUUUACAAAGGAUAUUUUGAUAUGGUCAAGGUAAAUGAAUUAAAUCAAAGAGAUGUUAUCUCUUAUCAUGCCCCCCAAAUUAGUUGUAAUAAUUCAAGGUUUUAUUUUUCUUCAUAUAAUAUGUGCCCAUUACUCAAGAAGUGAUACAAAUAACAAACUAAACUCAGUUGGUUCCAUGUUUAUUAAAUUAUAAAAAAUAAAAAUAAAAAUAAAAUAAAAUAAAAUAAAUAAAUAAAUAAUAACCAUCUAAAUAAAUAAUAUAAUGCUAAUUUUUAAAAAUUAUAUAUUUUUUUGGUUAAAAAAUGAUAAUAUUUUAAUAAAAAUUAUAAAUAAAGAUUCUAAUAUUUCAAUAAAUCUAUAAAUUAUAUAGGUUUUUUGUUAAAAUGAAUGGUAAAAUCAUGGGAGAAUGAUAACUACUAAUAAUAUUUUAUUUAAAAUUAAUUAUAAAAUAAAUAUAAUUGUUUUUUUUUUUAAAAAAAAGUAUGCGAAUAUACGUACAUCUAACAAGACAUGCAGUUUCCUUGCAUGCUGUCGAUAAAGAGACGAGAGUCCAGUUGGGCGUCCUUCUCAAGUUGACUGCAGAGUAGUCCUGAUUCCAGCUGGCUUCUGGUUUCAAAAUUCAAAAUUCUAAGUCCUAUAAAUAAUCUCUUAGUUUCUCUCCAAUAUUAUGACUACCAUAGCUUCCAACGAGUUCAAAGAUGAGAAGGCACCCUACCCAACUCCUUGCCUCUCUCUUGUUCUUUCUCUUUCCCACGAUUUUCUUCAUAGAAAAGGGCAUGGCACAGAACACAACAAUACCAGUUAAAGUGGGAGUGGUUCUGGACUUGGAUACAUUGGUUGGGAAGAUGGGCUUGAGCUGCAUCUCCAUGGCCCUUUCAGACUUAUAUGCCUCUCAUGGUCACUACAAAACCAGGGUGGUUACAAAAAUCAGAGACUCCAAAAGAGAUGUUGUUGGUGCAGCUGCAGCAGGUACUAUCCCUUGAAUCUUCUCCUUCAAGAGUUAAACUCAGCAGUCUAAAUAAUUUCAGAAUAAUCCGAGAGCCUGAUUGGAAAUUGUUUUUUUAGAAUACUUUUUUGUUCUCUAGAACAAAAAACAUAAAAAAACAAAAAAUUGUCUAACAACAAAAAAUUGUUUUAUGUUUUUUAUUCUUAAUUUUAUAUUAUUUUCACUUGUUUUUAAAAGUUGUUGUAAGAAAUAAUUAUACAAAUAUUAAAAAUAGAUUAAAAAUAUUUCAAGUUUUUAAAUAAACUUUUGUUUUACAAAAAUAAAAGAAUAGUUACUAAACAUGUUCUAAAUAUCUGCACCAUUUAGAAAACCAAACUUUAUUAUUGUAAAAAUAAAUAAAAAAUGAAAAAUGAAAAAUGAAGCAAUUGAUGUUGAGUCAAUCCAUUUGCGUUAGGAACAUCGUCGGACUUAUUCUCUUUGAGAAUUAAUAAACUUAAUUGGGAGCAAUUUAACUACCAUACCAAAAGAUAUUUGCUUUGAGUAUUCUCUUAGAAAAGCUACAAGAAUACUCAAUAAUGUUGAAUUCGUUUUGAAGUUGAUGCAUUAUUUAUAUUUAAUAUUUUUAGAAUUAGAUCAAUUAUUAUAAAAUUUAAAAAGUUAUGGUUUUAUAGUUUAGUGAUUGAACUAAUGAUUAAAUCGUGGUUGAACCAAUUGCAUUAUAAAUAUAUAAUUUAUAUAUCAUUAAAAUUACAAAUAAUUAUAAAGUUUUAAUAUAUAUAUCUUAAUAAUAAUAAUAUAUGUUUUUCAUAUUUGAUAUUAUCAAAUUUAUAUCAUAAAUAAAUAUAAAUAUAUUAAAUUUUAUUAAAUGAGUGGGUACCUUCCCAUCUAUGAUCAGAUUGUCCAUGGUUCAAAUCCACCAAUUCUAAGAAUUUAGGAUUUUACAACAACUCACUGUCUUUGAUUCCACAUUCAACAACUCAAUAUCUCUUAUCGGUGUCAAUCAUAAUUACCCAAAGUGGAGCCAGGCCUUAAUAUAUAUUGAGCUCGGCUUCCACCCCUUCACUAUGGGCUUGGCUUUUGCUGAGAGGAAAAAAAGGUUGGCCAACCCAAAACCAACAAUGGCCUGGUUCACUGGGUCAAUGGUCCAGCUGUUGGUUUGUCUGGUUCGAGGUUGGCUCAACGUGUACUCCGGACCAAGAUCUGGUCAACGGUUUGAUGUCUGAUCCAGAAAAAAAAAAAUUAGAAUCUAAAAUUUUAAUUAUUGUGAAAUUCAGCUCUAGAUUUAUGACAAAAUGAGGAAGUUCAAGCCAUCAUAGGACCGGCAUCCUCCAUGCAGGCCAACUUUGUGAUUGGUCUCGGAGACAAGGCUCAUGUGCCCAUCAUUUCAUUUUCCGCAACUAGUCCUUCCCUUUCUUCGCUCCGGAGUCCAUAUUUUGUCCGAGCCACACUGAAUGACUCAGCUCAAGUACCAGCUAUAAGGGCAAUUGUCCAAGCCUUUGAGUGGAGAGAAGUUGUGCUCAUUUACGUGGACAACGAGUAUGGAAAUGGAGUAAUACCAUAUCUUACUGAUGCCUUGCAAGAGAUUGACACCCGUAUCUCCUACAGGAGCGUCAUUCAUCCAUUAGCCACCGAUGAUCAAAUCCUCGAAGAGCUUUACAAGUUGAUGACAAUGCCAACCAGAGUUUUCAUUGUACACAUGUUUACACCUCUAGGCCCACGGCUUUUCACCAGAGCGAAUGAGAUUGGAAUGAUGAAAGAAGGUUAUGUUUGGAUUCUAACUGAUGGGUUAACUGAUAUCUUGAGUACUUUGGAUCCAUCUGUCAUUGAUUCAAUGCAAGGAGUGUUGG
Molecule: long non-coding RNA, 74680 nt
Filed under: Vitis vinifera (wine grape)
Lineage: Eukaryota; Viridiplantae; Streptophyta; Magnoliopsida; Vitales; Vitaceae
Description: long non-coding RNA (VVIN_LNC001003)
Source: RNAcentral